UUGGGUACAAACAUCACAUGGCUUAAUUCAAAUGCAUCAGUAGUAGUAGGAUAAUUACCGCCAGGCGUGCGAUUGCAAGCGAUCAAGCAUCGAGGUAGGAAAAUUAAUUACCACAUGCACGUUCAUUAUUGUCCCCUGGCGACGAUCGGUCAAAAGGCCACCUCGGCGUUGGCAAACUCCUCUCUCUUCUGUGUCAUAUCCGCCACCAUCUCACCGAACCUGCGCGGCGGGCUGACCACCGGCACCGUGCCGCGAGCAGACUGUCCACCCACAGCACGCCCGCUGUGAAGUCCACUCACAUGCACGUCCUUGGACUUCUGUGCGAUGAUGACGGAGUUCACCACGUCGUCGUCUGGGUGGCACACGGCCAGCACCUCGAACCCGCCCAGGGUGAUGUCCUGGGGGUCGACGAUCGGGUACAGGAACCCGCGUGCCCCGUGUGCGCUGCGCACGACGAGGGCCGCCCCGUCUGCCAUGUGUGUACCGAGGUGUGCUAUCACCUUGGCCUUGUCCUCGGCGGCCAUGCCGACGAGCGCGGCCAGGAAGACCACGUCGUAUGUAGCGAGCUCGCCAGCGAGGUCCGCUACGUCGGCCGUGUGGAACGACAUGCGGGCGCCCAUGUCCUUGUCCGCGCGGAACAGCUUGCUGGCUCGGUCGUUGGCCGCGCCGCACAGGUCGUAGUUGCCGAACAUGGUGUUGGGCAGGUGGCGCGCGGCCAGGACGAAGGAGCUGAACGGCAGCGGGCCGGAGCCAAUGAACGCGACACGGGCCGGGGCAAUGCCUCCGGGCACGUAGCGCGCCAGGAGCUCGUACUCCAGCUUGCUGAGGUUGAUGUAGUUGCUGUAGUAGGGGAACAUGCCGAGGUGAUCCAGCGGGUUGUCAAAGGCGGCGAGCAUGUCGGAGUAGUGCGCCUCAAGCUUCCCCUCGGCCUCGGAGCAAAGGCGGAUGAGGCCCUCCCGCAUCUUCUGCGCCUCCGGGCCGAGCUUGGUCACGUCCACGGGGCUCGGGGGAACGCAAGCCGUGACCAGCUCGGUGAAGAGCGCGUCGACGUCCGGGCAUGGGCUGAGCGACGGCAGCUUGGCGAUGGCGGAGUGGAGCCCGGUGAUCUUCUCCACCAGGGCAUCCACCUCCUUGUUGUUCUGGGCAGCCAUUUUCCUCUUCUUGCUUGGUGGAGUGGAGUGGAGAGUGGCUGAUGGAGCUGCUUGCUUGAUGAGCAAUGGAGCGGGCAAGACGGGGUAUAUAUAUGUACCUGCCGUCUAUAGAGUAUGGCUGCCGGAAAAGGUGCGCAUGCAUGCACGCUUCACGCGUCCCUGCCCAAUGCAAUGAGGCUGGUUUCAUGCCUCGGUUGUGACCUCUUCACGUCCUGAUGUUGAAGUGGACAGCGUAUUCUAUGUCUUCCUUCCUGUACAUCGUUUCAAAAAACGAUGCAAUAAAUUCGUCUAGAAAAACUAUAUGGUAGUUAUCUAAACUCUUCAAAUUGCUUUGACUAUAGUGAGUUAAUAUUAGGAGAAGGGCUAGGUGCAAGAAUGUUUAACUCCACAAAUUUUAAAAAGGUUUGAUUUUGCUAUAUCUCAGGUGCCUGAAAAUUUUCUUCGCGUCGGUCACUUUCUCUAGUUCAUUCUGAGCUCGCCGGAGAAAGCCAUAGCCCCACUAUCUAUUUUAGGGGGAGUCACGGCCUCAUUAUCUAUCUUAGGGAUGGGGUGAAGGGAAUCGUCGGAGUUUUCACCGGUGGUGUGGGGCUUAGAAGGACGGCCGAGGCGGUGGGGCAACAACGGUGGUAGAGGGGGGUUGAGGGGGAGAGCGGGGCGGCGAGGCAGUGUACGGUAGCGCCCGCCGGCCACGGGGGAUGGAGGCAGGCGGAUGGGGCGAGAUAGGCUGCCGGGGGAGGAAAAACUGUCGUCGGGAGGAAGAAGCUAAACAGUCCGCAGCAUGAUUGAAGCCGUUGGAUAUUGAUCCGAUGGUCGGGAAAGAAAGUGACUCUUGAAAACAUUUUGUAGGCACCUGUUAAAUAGAUGGUCCCAAAAAUAUUAAUUAUAGAAGGUGAUUUGAGGAGUUAAGUUUAUGGAAAGGCUAGAAAUGCUUUUAGUGCUGAAAUGUUGGCUUUAAGACUACUCGUUCCCUGUGAAUAAGUGUACAUCUGCCUUUUGUACUAAGUCAAAGUUUUAUAAUUUUGACAAACUUUAUAGAAAAGAGUAGUAGCAUACAUGACAUCAAAUUGAUAUAUUAUGAAAGUACAUUUCAAAACGAAUCUAGCGAUGCGAAUUUAGAGCCAUAAAUGCUACUGGUUUUCCUAUAAAGUUGGUCAAUGUUUUUAAAAAUUUAAUUUAAGACAAGAGCUAGAUGUACAUUUAUUCAUUCGCGAGCGGAGGGAGCACCUUUUGAGACCAAUGGUUUGUGACGCCAAGAGAUGUUAACCUGCUUUUAUGCAAGGUGUGCAUCUCUAUGAAAUGGAGCUUGAUCGGGCAACUCCGUGCGUUCAAUUUUUCAUGCUAUUCCAUAAUUCGUAUGGCUUAGUUUUACCUAGCAAUUUAGUGCUGUGGAUAGCAGGAAUUCGAACAGUUUGUAAGCGUCGCUACUCAAAACCGAUUGAAAAGCUGGAGGUAAACAGACACCAACUCAUGUGGUAGAGUAACAACUUUGCGUCUCAUUGGACAUUACUGCUUAAUACUACUCCUUACUACGUACUACUUUGCCAAUCUCCAUCUCCACCGACAGAAGCAUCGCAGCUCCAUUAGUGCCAGUUGACAGUGGUGGAGUAAACCAGUCCAGGAACAGCUACUUAAUUAUCAUCUUACACCCUGCAUUGCCUCAUAAUAACCCCAGCCCAAACCAUCUCUUCGUCGAUCAUCCCCCGAGUAAAUACCACCAUAAUCCAAGGGGGCAAACCAAAAAGAAGCACCAAAAAGCAGAGACCCUCGCCAUCGCCGCCGGUUUCACGACGCCGCCGCUGCCUGCCUACAGGCAGAAGCAGCCGCCGUUGUACUUGCCGCCCUUCAUCUGCUCACCGACCUUCCUCACCGUCACCGACGACGGCGCGCACGGCGUCCACUCCGCCGCCAGCCGCACACUGGCCAGCCACCACCACCCACUCCCGCCGCCCUUGCCGCCCCCACGCUUCCUCCUCGACGAUGCCGCAGCCUGGGCGGCCUCCGCGGCGAGGCGCCGGUUCUCGGCGCGGAGCCGCUCGAUCUCGGCGACGCCGGCCUUGCGCUCGGCCUCCCAGGCGGCCAUGGCCUCGAAGCACUGCGGUUGCGGAGCUCCAGCCCGUACACCUGCGCCUGCAGCGCCUCGACCUUCCGCCCGAGCAUGCACGCACGAUGGUCGUCCCGCAGCUUCACGGCCAGCCGGGCCAGGUCGGCCGCGCGGCGCCGCGUGUAGCCGAGCUCGGUAAUUUUGCAAAACCAUCUAUGGUAGUUCAUGUGAUGAGAAUGAUCAUAUGCUCGCGAGGUGUUGGACACAAUGCCAGAUAGGUAAGUGUUUUGUAUUAUUAUUUUUUCUCAAAAUCUUGGAUCAUGUGAUAUUGAAAUUUGGUAAUGGUUUUUGACAUCGUACUAUGCAAAACGAGUUGGGUGGCCUGGAAAAAUUCAUGGCGCUGGAUGAAAGGAACGCCAUUGACCUCAACGACGUUGUCAUUUCUGUGGCAGAUGAAAGCCAAGGAGAGAGACAUAGUGCCAAAGUAGAGGGUAACCACACACAUACAAUGAAGAGGGAGCUAACAAGGUCGGUGAACUACAAGGUUGAGGAGGACAUAACUUUGUGCAAUGCUUGAAUGAACAUAUCUCUCUUGACGCCAGGGCUAGAGGAGCCAAUCAAACCAAGGAAAUGUUUUGGAGGUGGAUUAAGCAAUACUAUUAACACAAUGUUUUGAUUCCAUCCAAUCACACGCAAGGGUAUCUCUGCUCAUCGCUGAAGUAGCAUCCAAGAUCAGUGCAAUCGAUGGUCCGAUUGUGUUGAGCAGGUGAACAACUCACCGACAAGUGUAGUGCCAAUAACCGAGUAUGAAUGAAAGGAUGAGACAAGAUUGGUAAAUUGUUCCUGGAGAGAUCUUGGCAAGAUUGAGCUUCUUUGGUGGUUACACUAGUGGUAGUGGUGCCAAUGAGAAUAUUGUUGAGAACUUGAAAUGGUGUGGAAAUGCCUAUGCAGAAAGAUGGAUGAGAUAGGUAGAACAUAUAGUGAGUUAAGAUUAGGAGAAGGGCUAGGUGCAAGAAUGUUUAACUCCACAAAUUUUAAAAAGGUUUGAUUUUGCUAUAUCUCAGGUGCCUAAAAAAUUUCUUCGCGUCGGUCACUUUCUCUAGUUCAUUCUGAGCUCGCCGGAGAAAGCCAUAGCCCCACUAUCUAUUUUAGGGGGAGUCAUGACCCCAUUAUCGAUCUUACGAAUGGGGUUAAGGGAAUCGUCGGAGUUUUCACCAGUGGUGUGGGGCUUAGAAGGACGGCCGAGGCGGUGGGGCAGCAACGGUGGUAGAGGGGGGUUGAGCGGGAGAGCGGGGCGGCGAGGCAGUGUACGGUAGCGCCCGCCGGCCACGGGGGAUGGAGGCAGGCGGAUGGGGCGAGAUAGGCUGCCGGGGGAGGAGAAACUGUCGUCGCACUACAACAGGACUGCCCCUGUAGCAACGCAUCUUUCCGUAUCUAAAUGUUCAUAUAUGCGUUGCUAGUGACUUUACCAACGGUUUGGCAUGCAUAGCCUUAUCCGGUGUUGCUAGCACAUAAUGCAACGCCUAUGCUGCCGUUGGUAAAAAGAACCGAUGCAAGACUACAACGGAUGAGGCAGACUUUUACAACACUUCUAUAUGUUGGAACUUACUGUAUAGGAAUCAAUAUCCCAUUGCUCAACAACAAAGAAUUUCCAACGCUUCCAAGUGUUGGUACAUAUAUAGUGUGAAUAAUAUUAUAUUAUAUAUAUAUAUAUAUUGUUGAGCUUUUAUAUAUUUAUAGCUCUAGUGCAUCUGUUACAUGGCAAUCUCUACUCCCUGCAUUAACAUCAAUCGAUGGGCAUCUCCAUAGCUCAUUGAUUAGCCUCGUCGAUGUGAGACUUUCUCCUUUUUUUUGUCUUCUCCACAUAACCCCCAUCAUCAUAUUCUAUUCCACCCAUAGUGCUAUAUACAUGGCUCACGCUCAUGUAUUGCGUGAAGGUUGAAAAAGUUUGAGAUUACUAAAGUAUGAAACAAUUGCUUGGCUUGUCAUCGGGGUUGUGCAUAAUGAGAGCAUUCUUGUGUGACAAAAAUAGAGCAUGACUAAACUAUAUGAUUUUGUAGGGAUGAACUUUCUUUGGCCAUGUUAUUUUGAGAGGACAUAAUUGCUUAGUCAGUAUACCUGAAGUAUUAUUAUUUUUAUGUCAAUAUUGAACUUUUAUCUUGAAUCUUUCGGAUCUGAAUAUUCAUACCACAAUUAAGAAGAAUUACAUUGAAAUUAUGCCAAGUAGCAUUCCACAUCAAAAUUCUGUUUUUAUCAUUUACCUGCUCGAGGACGAGCAGGAAUUAAGCUUGGAGAUGCUUGAUACUUCUCCAACGUAUCUAUAAUUUUUGAUUGCUCUAUGCUAUACUAUCUUCUGUUUUGGACAUUAUUGGGCUUUAUUAUUCACUUUUAUAUUAUUUUUUGGACUAACCUAUUAACCGGAGGCCCAGCCAGAAUUGCUAUUUUUUGCCUAUUUCAGAGUUUCGCAGAAAAAGAAAAACAAACGGAGUCCAAACGGAAUGAAACCUUCGGGAACGUGAUUUUCGGAACGAACAUGAUCCAGAGGACUUGGACCCUACGUCAAGAAAGGUACCAGGAAGCCACGAGGUAGGGGGCGCGCCUACCCCCCUGGGUGCGCCCUCCACCCUUGUGGGCCCCACGUUGCUUCACCGACGUACUCCUUCCUCCUAUAUAUACCUACGUAUCCCCAAACGAUCAGAUACGGAGCCAAAAACCUAAUUCCACCACCGCAACCUUCUGUACCCACGAGAUCCCAUCUUGGGGCCUGUUUCGGAGCUCCACCGGAGGGGGCAUCGAUCACGGAGGGCUUCUACAUCAACACCAUAGCCUCUCCGAUGAAGUGUGAGUAGUUUACCUCAGACCUUCGGGUCCAUAGUUAUUAGCUAGAUGGCUUCCUCUCUCUUUUUGGAUCUCAAUACAAUGUCCUCUCCCUCUCUUGUGGAGAUCUAUUUGAUGUAAUCUUAUUUUGUGGUGUGUUUGUUGAGACCGAUGAAUUGUAGGUUUAUGAUCAAGUUUAUCUAUGAACAAUAUUUGAAUCUUCUGAAUUCUUUUAUGUAUGAUUGGUUAUCUUUGCAAGUCUCUUCGAAUUAUCAGUUUGGUUUGGCCUACUAGAUUGAUCUUUCUUGCAAUGGGAGAAGUGCUUAGCUUUGGGUUCAAUCUUGCGGUGUACUUUCCCAGUGACAGUAGGGGCAGCAAGGCACGUAUUGUAUUGUUGCCAUCGAGGAUAACAAGAUGGGGUUUUUAUCAUAUUGCAUGAAUUUAUCCCUCUACAUCAUGGCAUCUUGCUUAAAGCGUUACUCUGUUUUUAUGAACUUAAUACUCUAGAUGCAUGCUGGAUAGCGGUCGAUGUGUGGAGUAAUAGUAGUAGAUGCAGGCAGGAGUUGGUCUACUUGUCUCACGUGAUGCCUAUGUACAUGAUCAUACCUAGAUAUUCUCAUAACUAUGCUCAAUUAUGGCAAUUGCUCAACAGUAAUUUGUUGACCCACCGUAAAAUACUUAUGCUCUUGAGAGAAGCCACUAGUGAAACAUAUGGCCCCCGGGUCUAUUUUCCAUCAUAUUAAUCUUCCAACACUUAGUUAUUUCCGUUGCUCCUAUUUUACUUUGCAUCUUUAUCAUAAAAAUACCAAAAAUAUUAUCCUAUGAGUUAAAUGCACUGGAGGUCCUAAAAGUUUCGCCGUUGUGUCACUUUAGUCCUAUUUCUUUGAAAAUGCACCUUUAGGUAACAAUUCUUUCAUAAGUGAUUCACUUGAGGUCUUUUUAUUCACUAGCGCUCGCUGACAUUCCCUCGUGGUGCGUUGACCCAUGCCACGUCGACACAGGGGCUGCGGAGGCUGCUCUUUUUUUUACAAAAAACCCCUUAGAAACACUCUUCUUCACAUUCCCCGGUCCCUUGCUCUAUUUCUUCCCCAAAUCCCUCUCUGUCUCUCCCGUUCCCUAACCCUAGCCAUGGCCAGCACUUCAAGCUCCUCGGUGGGGAAGUAGUUGAAGAGGAGGAGCAUGGUAGCGCCGUCGUGAGCACCGCCGCCGCAGCCAGUGCAAGCUCCAACUUUGUCUGGUAUGUUGCUGCUCGUGGCUUGUCCUUGCUGCCAUGUCCGUGACACCAUUGUGCUCCGUUCGAAAUCUACUGCCAACCCUGGACGGGUGUUCUACAAGUGCCACAUCCAUAAGAAUACUCAAUUUUUCCAUCAAUAUAAGACUUGUUUGACCCAAAUCCACAAAACAGCCCACCAUAAUUGAUUUCAAUAGAAAACACUUCUUCAUUUGGUCCUAUCAUUACAAUGGAAACAAUUUGUCAAAUUUCAAUUGAUGUCUUGCAGCGAAAAAAUUACAAAAGAAGUGGUCUUUUGGAAUUUAGAACUGAAACUCUAACCCUAACCUCAAAUCAGAGCAUGCGGUUUCGGAAUCCUAAAUGUGACAGUGCAAAUCGAAGUAAAUCUAUGACUAUGGCACAGUCCUUGCAGAUUAGAGGCACUACAGGAGCAGAGGAACGACAAGAUUAGGGUUCUUAACGUAAGAUGGAGGAGGAUCGCCCACUGGCCAUCGCAGAGGGGGCAUCUUGACGGGCACUCGCUCACAUUGCCCUCAAGAUCACCUCCGGUCAUCGCCGCACGGAGGAAAUCGCCACCGCGUGCAGGAAAUCAUCGCCGGCGCCGAUCGCCUCCAGUAUCGCCAGAGUAGCCCCGAAAGAGGAGAUGGGAUUCCACUGAGAGGGGAAUAGAUCAGGAGGGGCUUAUUGUAAAAUUUCUUGGCUAGCGGAUGGGCCCUGUGUCGACGUGGCGUGGGUCAACGCGCCACGAGGGCAGGUCAGCGAGCGCUAGUGAAGAAAACGACCACGGGUGAACCACUUAGGAAAGAAUUGGGACCUAAAGGUGCAUUUUCAAAGAAAUAGGACUAAAGUGACACAACGACGAAACUUUUAGGACAUCCAGUGCAUUUAACUCUUAUCCUAUCAUAUCUAUUAGAUCCCACUCUCGUAAGUGACCGUGUAGGGAUUGUCAACCCCUUAUCGUGUUGGUUGUGAGGAUUUAUUUGUUUGUGUAGGUGCGAGGGACUCGCGCGUAGCCUCCUACUGGAUUGAUAACUUGGUUCUCAAAAACUGAGGGAAAUACUUACGCUACUUUACUGCAUCACCCUUUGCUCUUCAAGAGAAAACCAACGCAGUGCUCAAGAGGUAGCAUCCCCCUGCUGCUUUACAGGUCGACGCGGCUGCUCCUUCCCCGUAUGGCUCGUCUCCAUGACUGGCGCAUCCCCGCCCGCGCGUAGGUUGUGCCGCUCCCGUUCCCCGCUUGAGCGCCUCCCUGCCACGCCGCUCCCCGCUUGAGCGGGCCCUGCCGCGCCGCUUCAGUCCCUCCUGCCGCGCCGCUCCACUCCGGGUCCUGCCGCGCCGCUCCACUCCUAGAUCGGGUGCUCCUCCGCUAGAUCCCGCUGAGGUCGGGGUGCUUCUCCAGCCCUCUUCUUCUCGCGCCGGGCCGUGUCCUUCUCUGGCUGGCCGCCGCAUCGAGCUAGCUGCGGUCAAUCCGACCCCGCAUCGAGUGCGUUUCUGCCUCACGCCAGCUCUGCUCGAUCCAACUCAUAUCUUCCUUCGUUGACUCAAAAAAAAAACAAAGGCAGCAGAGAGACUUCCUCAUGUCCUCUUCGGGCUACAUCGCGGUCCCUCGGUGCUCGGUGAUCUCCGAUGGCACCAACUAUGUUGCGUUUGUGGGCUUCAUGUGCAUUCAUAUGCGUGGCCUUCUUCUGUGGGGUGUUCUUUCUGGCGAGGUCCCCUGUCCGCCAUGCCCUGUUGUGCCAGUGGCCCCAAUCCCACCGGUGCCGCCGGUCCUUGCUGCUGAUGCUUCUCAAGCUGACCGGGAUGGAGCCAAGGCUCUCGAUGAUGUUGCCAUCGAGGCUUAUGGCCAGCGGGUAUCAGCUUAUUCAGAUGCUCUCUAUGUGUACCGCGAUGGUCUGUCUACUUACACUCAAUGGUGCAAUGAUGAUGCUCGUGCUACUAUUGUUCUCACUGCGAGUGCCCUCCCUCAGUUUGCUUCGGAGUCCAUGGGACUUGGCACAGUUGCAGCGAUGUGGUCUUAUCUCUGUCAGCGCUAUCAGCCCUCUGGUGAUUCUCUCUACCUAUCUGUGGUGCGUCAGGAGCAUGCACUCCAGCAAGGUGAUUCCUCUGUUGAUGAGUUCUAUUCACAGUGCUCUGCCAUCUGGCGUCAGCUUGACUCUCUUCGGACAGUUGUUUGUGGGACUUGCCGCUACUGUCAGACUACGUGGUUCGAUUUGGAGUUUCGGCGGGUUCAUGAGUUCUUAUCUCGUCUUCGCUCUGAGUUCGAGCCUCGACGUGCCCACCUGCUUGCUCGUGGUCAUGUUCCUAUCUCAGAGGUGCUUGCUGAACUUCGUGCUAAGGAUACCCGCUUUUGCUCUGCUGGGUUACUUGUGAUUCCAUCAGUGUUGGCCGCAUGAGAUCCUGUGUCAUCUGCUCGUCUCACCGCGCUCUUCAGGGGGGUGAGUCGCCCUCCUUAUGUUGAGAAGGGUACGUCGCGCCGUGACACCUUAUGUGGUUACUGCUCCCGGUCAGGUCACCCAGAGUCUGAUUGUCACCAGAAGAAGCGAGACCAGAGGCGCUCCUCUUCCAGUGGGACUCCAGGGUCUUCCUCCACUCCGUCACUCACUGACCAGGACAUUGUACGCCUCAAGCGUCCACUUUCUUCCUAAGGCUCCUCGUCGACUGGUUCCGCUACUGCUGUGACUGCAUCCACUUCUCCACCACCGCAGGCAUCUACAUAGUCAGGUACAUCUUCGUGGGUUCUGGAUUCUGGAGCCUCCUUUCAUAUGUCUUCUUAUUUUCUCGUGUUGUCUUCUCUCCGACCUCUUGAUUUGUCGGUUAAUGUUCUUACCGCUGAUGGCACACCUCUUCCUGUUGCUAGUCGCGGUAUUCUUUCCACUCCUUCUUUUUCUAUUCCUAGUGUUUCACAUGUUCCUUGCCUUACCAUGAAUCUUUUUUCCGCUGCCCGACUUACUAAUUCCGGUUGUCGUGUCAUUCUUGAUACCGACUGUUGCUCCAUUCAGGAUCGUCGCACCAAGGCUUUGGUUGGUGUUGGCCCCGGCGCCGUGAGUCAGAGGGCCUUUGGGAGGUUGACUGGCUUUUUGUUCCUUCCGCUGCCACCACUUCUGCCAGCUCUCAUGCUCUGACUGCCUCUUCGUCUGCGUCCUUCCAGCAGUGGCAUCAUCGCCUUGGUCACAUCUGUGGCUCCAGCUUGUCUUGUUUAGUUCUUCAGGGCCUCUUAGGGUCUGUAUCUGGAGAUGUUUCUUUACAUUGUAAUGGUUGCAGACUUGGAAAACAGACCCAGUUACCUUAUCCUAUCAGUGAGUCGGUAUCUCAGCGUCCAUUUGACUUAUUUCAUUCCGAUGUCUGGGGUCCUGCUCCCUUUGAUUCGAAAGGUGGCCAUCGCUACUAUGUUUUGUUUAUUGAUGAUUUCUCUCGCUACACUUGGCUCUACUUCAUGAAAUCUCGUAGCGAGGUUCUCUCUAUAUAUAAACGUUUUGCUGACAUGGUUCACACCCUCCACGCCUAUUCGCACCUUUCGUGCUGACUCCUCUAGAGAGUUUAUCUCCCAGCUGUUGCGUGGUUUUCUCGCGGAACAGGGUACUCUGGCCCAGUUCACUUGUCCUGGUGCUCAUGCUCAGAAUGGUGUUGCGGAACGAAAGCAUCGUCAUUUGCUUGAGACGGCUCGUGCGCUGAUGAUUGCCGCUUCCCUUCCCCUACACUUUUGGGUUGAGGAUGUUUCUGCAUCCACCUACCUCAUCAACAUUCAGCCAUCGACUGCCCUGCAGGAUGGUAUUCCUAUGGAGUGUCUCAUUGGUCGUUCUCCUGACUACUCAGCCCUUCGUAUGUUUGGAUGUGUGUGUUAUGUCCUUCUUGCCCCGCGGGAACGCACCAAACUGACUGCUCAGUCGGUUGAGUGUGUUUUCCUUGGCUACAGUGACGAGUACAAGGGCUAUCGCUGUUGGGAUCUUGUUGGUCGUCUCUUGCGCAUCUCGCGUGAUGUAACCUUUGACGAGUCUCGCUCUUACUACCCACGUCCUUCUUCCUCGAGCUUCUUUGUGGAUGAUAUCUCUUUUCUCCUUCUCUCCGAUACACCUUGCUAUGUGCCUCAUAUUCCACCUCUUCCUCCUGCCCCUCUCAUUCCUUCUCAUUCACCACUGACACCAUCUUCCCCAUCCUCCUCCUCCACCUCUCCACCACCAUCUCCCGUCCGUCGCCCUCUCUCACCGUUUCCUCUCCACUAUACUCGUCUCCCUCGUUGUGAGGAUGCUUCUCUUGACACGCCUUCCACCUCUGGUGCACCUCCCCUCACUCCUCCCCCGGUUCAUAACCUCCGUACUCGGCCUCGCCCCCAGCCUGAUCGCUACUCCUGAUCGGUACGGUCUCUCUGUUAUUGCUGAGCCCACUUCGUAUCGGACUGCCAUGACUCAGCUUGAAUGGCAGCUUGCGAUGGCCGAAGAGCUUGCUGCCCUUGAGCGCUCUGGCACAUGGGAUCUGGCUUCCCUCCCUUCCGGUGUUCGUCCCAUCACCUGCAAGUGGGUCUACAAGAUUAAGACUCGCUCUGAUGGUUCUCUUGAGCGCUACAAAGCGCGUCUUGUGGCCCGUGGUUUUCAGCAGGAGCAGGGACGCGAUUAUGAUGAGACAUUCGCUCCUGUGGCCCACAUGACCACUGUCCGCACUCUUCUUGCUGUGGCUGCUGUUCGUCAUUGGUCUAUCUCCCAACUUGAUAUUCAGAAUGACUUUCUCAAUGACGAGUUGCGUGAGGAGGUUUAUAUGCAGCCACCACCGGGGUACUAUGCUCCUGAUGAUAUGGUCUGUAGACUUCGCCGCUCCCUCUAUGGUCUUAAACAGGCCCCUCGCGCCUGGUUCGAGCGCUUCGCCUUUGUCAUGACUGUCGUUGGUUUCUUGCCCAGUGAUCAUGAUCCUGCAUUGUUUGUUCAAACGUCUCCUCGUGGUCGGACUGUUCUCCUUCUCUAUGUUGAUGACAUGAUCAUCACUUGUGACGACUCUGACUACAUUGCUUUUGUUAAGGCUCGCCUUCGUGACCAGUUCCUCAUGACCGAUCUUGGUCCACUUCGCUAUUUUCUUGGGAUUGAGAUCUCCUUGACCUCUGAUGGCUUCUACAUCUCACAAGAAAAAUAUAUUCAGGAUCUUCUUGCUCGCGCUGCUCUCGGUGAUGAGCGCACAGUUGUGACUCCUAUGGAGCUCAACGUUCAGCUUCGUGCCUCUGAUGGUGAACCUCUUUCUAAUCUCACUCGCUGUCGUCACCUUGUUGGCAGCCUUGUAUAUCUUGCUGUUACGCGUCCUAACAUCUCCUAUCCUGUCCGCAUCCUGAGUUAGUUUGUUUCAGCCCCCACCUCUGUCCACUAUAAUCAUCUCCUCCGUGUUCUACUGUAUCUUCGUGGGACGAUCUCUUGGCGCCUUUUCUUUCCCCGCUCCAGCUCUCUUCAGCUCCAGGCCUACUCUGAUGCUACCUGGGCUAGUGAUCCCUCUAAUCUACGCUUGAUGCCUGCUUAUUGUGUCUUUCUUGGUGGCUCUCUUAUUGCCUGGAAGACAAAGAAACAGACUGCAGUUUCUCGCUCGAGUACAGAGGCUGAGUUGCGAGCCAUGGCUAUGUUGACGGCUGAGGUGAUCUUGUUACAGUGGUUACUUGAGGAUUUUGGUGUGUCUGCUACUACCUCGACUCCCUUACUGUCAGACAGUACCGGUGCUAUCAGUAUUGCGCAUGACCGAGUGAAGCAUGAGCUCACCAAGCACAUCGGUGUGGAUGCCCAUUUUGUGUGUGCUGCUGUGCAGGAUCAGACUCUCGCUCUUCACUAUGUGCCCUCUGAGUUACAGUUGGCUGACUUCUUCACGAAGGCACAGACUCAAGCGCAGCAUGGCUUUUUUCUCUCCAAACUCAGUGUUGUUAAUCCACCAUGAGUUUGAGGGGGGUGUUAGAUGUGUAUAGUCUCUUUUCGGUAUAUCCCCAUUGUAUAAGGGGUUUCAUGCACUUUACCACACAUGUAAAUGUAAUGGCCUUUGGCCUUCGGUAAAGAUCGGUUGCUCAUUAUCUAACAAUUAAAACCCUUAAAACUAUUACCAACAUCAUAUCGAUGAAUGCCUUAAUUAAUUACUAUAGUGGUAAACUUAAGAACCGAAUGUGCAAUCCAUCGUCCAGCUAGCAGGAGUAUAUAUAUGGUAUGACGAUGGAACUUGCAUGCACGCUCGAUGAUGCAUAUAUAAUCAAGUUGCGACCCAUGACGCCGUCAUGUGCCCUAUAAUUUGGAAGCUGGGACGUGGGGCGUAACUAGUGAGAUACCGUUGCCCGAGGACAGUAGUCUCGGCGACCUGUGGCGGCAGCAACCGGCCCUAGCAGCAAGGUUGAGAGAACCGUGUGCGGCGUAGGAGCAAGAGGUUAGCUUUUCUGCCUGCUUUAUUGAUCACGUGGGGGUGGCUAUGUAUAUAUAGCCAAUUACAAUUGAGGAAACAGACUUGGACUAUUGUUGGAAUUGGAUCCUGUCGGCAGGGUAACCUUCUUCGGGACAAAACCUUUCCGACUUAGGAACCGAACUCCCACUCUAACUCUAGAUGAACUCAGCAAGUUCUAGACUCGGACAAGAACUAGGGUGCAACAUGGCCCCUACGCGUUUGGCCUCACAUGACAGAUGCACUGAAUUAUGUAGCUCAAGGGUAAUAAGAAGAGACAUCACCAUGUGUCAUCAUAGGUGCCUCCUCGUUUACAAUGCAAGGCACACCAAAGCUGCCGUCUCCUUGUGUUGUGGCAGGAAACUCUUGGCCGUCCUCGAGGAAUUUCAUUGCAUCCUCCAUGGAAGGUCGUUGUGCCUCUGCUGAGUGAGAACACUUGAGGCCAAGGACAACCACACGCUCCAUCUCGGUACGGUCAAAGAAGCGUAACCUUUCAUCCACAACACCAUCCACAUGAACUUGCUGCUCACUGCCACCGCGCAUCUGCCAGACUUCCUCCCUUGAUUUUUGUGUACGUGCAAUCUUUAGUAGGACGAUCCCGAAGCUGUAUACGUCCGACUUACGGCUGAACUCCACAGCCCCGUCUUUCAUGAGAUGUGGAUCCAUGUAUCCCACUGACCCCACGGCGGUUGUGACCACUGUCGCUCUGUUUUUGCUGGCGAUCAUGGAUAGCCCGAAGUCCCCAAGCUUAGCGUUGAAAUACUCAUUCAAGAGUAUGUUGCCAGGCUUGAUAUCUCUAUGCAGGAUGCAUGGAUUGCACUCGUGGUGGAGGUAAUGAAGAGCUGACCCUAUGCCCUUCACUAUUUUGUACCUAUUGCAAACAUUAGCAAGCGAAAUGUUCAGACAUCAGUCAUGUUUAUCUUCUGGUUCCUGAAUAAUAAAAUACCUAUUUUUUAUGUGCCAUAGAUUUUUUUUUCUUACUCACUCCAAGAAUUACAAAUUGGCAAGUCAAUUUUUCAUUCCAUUAUGAUACCAUUCAGAAAAAUCCUUGACUUGAAUCAACCAUGGGGAAACACAUGCAAAACCCUGCCUGAUUAUCACUGCAUAGGGAAGACCUAUAAUCGUAUCUUAACCAUUGAUCGACAGUAUUACAUUUUGGGAAAUAAUAACUCCGGUAAUUCCUUCCUUUAAAAGAGACAUCGUAUAGAACCAUGAGUAAUAGUUCAACUAAUAAAUCAUAGUAAAUAUUAUGUACCUAGUCCCUAUAGCAACACAAGCAGGAAUAUAAAAUAUUUAGUCUUUUGGAACAUGGGUAUGUGGUUAACAGAAUGUUGCAGGCUUGGCGUCACCAAUUAUUGAUGGUACAUUUAAUUUGAAUAAUACGGAAAAACAAUAUUAUUUUGGAGUAUUAUAUCAGCGGAAGUUCCAUCAUAUUCAAAGUUCAAUGAAAAACAAAGGGAACAAGGAUGUAACAACCAUGCAUAUAACUUAACAUAUACAGAUUUCACCAAUCAAAAGUUUUCCAUUUCAUAGAACGAUAAGCAUUGAUGAUGGUGUGUUUAAAUAUUAUCAGCUGGAUCCUUUUCAAGUACAAGGGAUUCUAGUCCGUUUACUAAUCUUAACUCCUAGGACAUAACAAAUCACCAUGGCCCUCAAAUCAAAAAGUAUGAAUGGAUUACAAUAGUUUAGAAGCACACCUUACCAAAUCUGAAUUUUUCAGUAGACAUUUUGAUAAUCGCUACUGGAUUUGAGCAGUUUGCAGAGUGCCCAGGACACUCGGCAAACGUCGAAAACCACACGGCAAAGGAUUUAUCAAGUGCUCCCGCUCGGCAUAGAACAAGCCGACAAAGGGGUCUUUGUUGAGUGUUUUUCAUUGGCAACAAAAUACAUUUCAUGUAACAAAACCUUAGAAACUCCUUUUUUUCACUAUUGUUUGGCAUGGAAAGAUGCACCUUUGUGCCAAGUAUGGGCGCAUUAUUAUGAACUAUUCCAUGUAUAUGGCCAUGACCAUGGUCAUUUGGUUUGAAAGCCAUAAUGUUCAUAUAUGAUAGUCCAUUUUAUGAUUUGUUUUUAGAAAAUAUGUCAAAAUCCAUGUUUAUCAUUUUUUUUUCUGAAAACUACAAUACAUAAGUUAACUUCAUGUGGGAUUGCAUUUCUUUUUUUUUUUGAAUUUUUCUUCAUUUUAUUUGUUUUUUUUGAAACGGGGUCUUAAUCGUCGGCAAAACUAUUCAUAGCAAAGGUAUGGCGCUUUCAACACCAGUCUUGACUAUUGCAUAGAUCCUACUUACAUACCAUAAGAACACAUUUGUGUGAGGUGUCUAAUAUGGGAAAAUGAUAAAAAAUAUGAAUACUUCGAAUCGGCAUUUAAUAUGGUAUACUUUGUGUGAGGUGUCAUUUUACAAAGUAUUAUUUGCACUUGCUUCACAAAAAACCCAUUUUUUAUGCUUCGAAAAAUUAUAUACUUUGUGUGAGGUGUCAUUUUACAAAGUAUUAUUUGCACUUGCUUCACAAAAAACCCAUUUUUGAUGCUUCAAAAAAUUAUAUAUAUAUACUUUGUGUGAGGUGUCAUUUUUGAUGCUUCGAAAAAUAACUAUUCUAAUCCNNNNNNNNNNNNNNNNNNNNNNNNNNNNNNNNNNNNNNNNNNNNNNNNNNNNNNNNNNNNNNNNNNNNNNNNNNNNNNNNNNNNNNNNNNNNNNNNNNNNNNNNNNNNNNNNNNNNNNNNNNNNNNNNNNNNNNNNNNNNNNNNNNNNNNNNNNNNNNNNNNNNNNNNNNNNNNNNNNNNNNNNNNNNNNNNNNNNNNNNNNNNNNNNNNNNNNNNNNNNNNNNNNNNNNNNNNNNNNNNNNNNNNNNNNNNNNNNNNNNNNNNNNNNNNNNNNNNNNNNNNNNNNNNNNNNNNNNNNNNNNNNNNNNNNNNNNNNNNNNNNNNNNNNNNNNNNNNNNNNNNNNNNNNNNNNNNNNNNNNNNNNNNNNNNNNNNNNNNNNNNNNNNNNNNNNNNNNNNNNNNNACCACCCAUCUGGCGGCGCCGCUGCAACCGCCGCCAACCAACCUCCCCUGGUCGGGAUCUUGCGGCCGCGCGACAGCCACCAACCCGCGUCGCAACCGCCGGGAUCCUGCCUCCGCGCGACCUUCCUCCACCUGCCGCCGCGACCUUCCUCCACUUGCGGUCGUGACCUGCAGCGGCCACGACCCUCCCCGCGGCGACGCCACCGUCCAUCGCCCAGUGGUGCAGCACACAACUCACGGAGAUCCCCAUCGCCGCUGACCGUCCGGCGAACUUCCCUGCCACCUUGCGGUGGACCUCUCCUUGCUGGUAACCUGCUCCGACGACCUUUGCCGGCCUACUUCAACCCCGCUCGUGGGCAGUCCGCGCGGGCAGCCAUCUCUCAUCGAUUUGUCUCAUAGUCAUCCAGCACAGCACUUGUGUUUCAAGGCUGGCCACCUAUUCCAUGUUGAGUAUGCAGUGAUGUAUCCUGCAUGAAGUUGUAGCAGGUUGACGUUGUUUCCUCUCUAGGAAGACAUGGCACUGUUCGUGUGUGCUGUACUGCAUACGAGCAUAUCUAGCUCUAUUUUUUGCAAGUGUGUAAUGUGUUAGUUGAUGUGUUUCGUUGAUUUAGUCAACUAUGUUUGCAAAAUUUCUUUUUUCAUAACUUGGUAUGCAUCAGUUUUAGAGAUAUGUGUUCAAGUGUACAACAAUUUCCGCCUACAGAGGAUAAAUGCUUGGCGUGAGAAACACAAUUGUUGUUGGUGAUCCACCAAGAUAUGUGUGCGUGUGUGAUUAUGCAUCAUUUUUUCUUUAGUUCACAUGGGGAUCACAUGAGAAGUCCAACUAUUAAAAAGAACAGAGUUCAGAUAUAGUAAAAAUGUGAAGGAACAGAGUUCAGAGUAAAUACGAGCAUAUGAAGCUAUGUUUUCUUUGUUACUAGUACUAUUCACUGUUCAAUAUUUCAAUGUGAAGGAAUUGUCACUGCAAGUAUUUGAUAUACGUGCUAGUGUGGCUGUUUUGCUAGUCUAGAAACUAGUUGAGGAAAGUUGACGUAGUCUUGUUGUCUAGAGAUGGCCAAGACUUGGGCUUGGUUCACGGCCUAGUUUCGCUUCGCAAGCAACUCUGCUCCCGCUUCACACGUAAUCUCUACAACAGUUGCUACUCUGAACAUACACGUACAGCUCAUGUAAAUAAAUGAGAAGUCCAACUAUUAAAAAGAACAGAGUUCGGAUAUAACAAAAUGAGUAAAAUUAGUGUAAACUAAAAAAUGAGAAAAAUGUGAUGAAUCAAAAAUUUAAAAACUCAGAUUUUUGUCGUUCCUAAAGAGUAAAAUGAAGAAGUUCAAAUUAAAAUAAAAAGAGCAACUAAAAAAGUUUAAAAAUAGAAAUUUCUUGUUUAUUAAUAAAUUAGAAGUUCAAACUAAAAUAACAAAGUGGUUUGAUGUUUAUUAAAAAAUCUAGGAUUUUACCUUUUUAAGAAACGCAAACAUCUGUUAUUAUUAAAGUAUCAACCACGAAGUUCAAAAAAUUGGAUAAAAAGUCAGAUUUGAAGUAUAUAUAAAAAUCAAAAAGAAUUCUUUACUAAAAAAUAAAAAUGUGAAGUUCAAUUUGAAAUAACAUAGAAGUUUGAACAAUGUAAAAAACUCAGAUUUGUUGCAAGAAGUUCACGUGCACCCCCGUGCAUGGUUCCGAAUUUAUAUUGUGGGAUGUCCGACCUCCAAUUACAUGUUUUAAAAAUGACAAAAAAUGACGUCGGACCUCCAAUUGUGUGUAAUUCGACAUAUACACAAAAAUGUGAUAGAAGUUCGUAGUGAAAACAGUGAGAAGUUCAAGUACUGCAAGGAAUGCAUUUCAGGUGAGAAUAGAAGUAUAGAAAAAUAAAAGCUUAAAAAGUUUGUUGCCAGAAGUUCAAGUGCUCUGUCCGGGGAAUUUCAAAAAUUCUUGCGAGAGAGGUUCACCUUGUAUUUCCAUGUUCGAUUUUUUCCAUAUAAAAAUUGAAUACAAUUCUUUACUCAAAAUAUGAAAAGGUGAAGUUCAAAUUGAAAUAACAGAGAAGUUCGGAGUUUAUUAAAACAUAGGAUUUACCUGUUAAAAAAAUAAAAAACACAAGCUAUUUUUUGCACUUUUAGAAACAACUCAUAUACGAAAAAAUGGUAGCUAGAAGUUCAAGUGCUCGGCGAGGAAAAGUUUAAAAAAUUCUUGUGAGAGAGCUUCACCGUGUAUUUAGAUGUCGAAAAUACAAAAAAAUAUAUGUUGUUUUUUGUGUUUUAAAAUAAUUCUCUCAAACCAGAGAGAAGUUCAGAGUGAUAACGAUCGGAAGUUCACGUACUACAUGGUGUGUAUUUCAUAUAAUAAAAAUACAAUAAAGUGAAACUGAGUGAAGUUCAACCAGAAAUGACCCAGAAGUUCAACUACUUCACGCGGUGCAAAAAACAGCACGUCAAAAAACAGAGUAAAGUUCAAACAAACAUGCCCCAAAAGUUCAACUACUUCAUAUAGUGCAUUUUCGUUCGCGAUGAACGCAUAAAUCAUGAUCUCGCCAUUUUUUAAUUUACCUCAAAACGACAGGAAUAUCAUUUGUGUAAGUUCAAGUCCUCGGUCGGAGAAAGUUAAAAAAAUUAUUAUGAGAGACGUUUGUGCAAAAGGAAUAUUAUUUGUGUAACACUAACGAAUGGAUGAGAAAAUUACAAACAAAAAUACGUCACAGAAGUUCAACGUGAAAACAGCAGGAAGUUCAACUACUACGCUGAAUGAAUUUUAGAUGAAAAACUUUUAAAAUCGUUGCGAAUAUGAAAAGAUGAUCAACACGGGAAACUUGCGUGCUUACAGCAGCUUUCCAUCGGUAUAUCACCUGCUCAAUUCCGGUGAAUGGAUGGAGAGUUACGAGCAGUGGAUGGAGACCUACGAGCAAAAAAAUCACGUUAAAAACAGAGUGAAGUUCAGGUACGCGCGCCGAGAAGUUCAGGUUGUUCACACGGUGCAUUUUCGAAGAAUCUGUUUCGCGAUAAAGGCAGAACGCAUGAUCUCUCUGUUUUUGAAAUUACUUGAAAACGGCUAGAAAUCAGAGAAAACCAUCAACAUGAAAAAGUUUCGCAUUUUUCGUAGCUUUUCAGUGUUAUAUUAUUUGCCCAUUCCGAUAAAGUUUGUAGAAAUUAUGGUAAAAAUACGUUUUUAGCCAUUUGCAAAACUGACAUAACCGUAAUUAAUUAGGAGAAACAAUAUAUACAAAAAAGUUUCGCAUUUCUUCAAGCUUUCCAACGCCAUAUUAUUUGCUGCAUUUGGACAUACAGUUAAAAAAUUAGCUCGAAAAUACGAACUCGGUGGAACUUGUACCGUUUUCUAAAUUACUUUUAAACCGUUCAAAAUUAGAAAAACUUUUAACAUGAAAAAUUAGCGCAUUUUCAUAAGCUUUCCAACGCCAUAUUAUUUGCCUCAAUUAGAUUAGCCGUUUAAAAAUGACAUCGAAAAUACGAACUCGGGUGUUCCGUUUGCGAAAUUCUACGAUUUUCCGAAUUACUCUUUAACCGUAGGGAAUUAGAGAAAUCUUUCAACAUGUGGAAGGAGCGGUUUUGCAGCAGCUUUCCAACGCCAUAUUAUUUGCCUCAUUCCGAUAAACGGUUUAAAAAUGUGAUCAAAAAUAUGAUUCACGUUUUUUGUACGAAGAAAAAACGAGUUUCAAAACUGCUCUUAAACCACUUACAUUUUGCCAAAAUUUUAAUUUGGGUCAUGAUACUGGUGUGCAUAACUUUCCAACGGUAUAUAGCGAGCCCCAUUUGGACAUCUUUUAGCUGAAGUUCAACCUAGCACACGGGGAAGGUCAGGCGCGUUACUCGGGAAGUUCAUGUUGUGGUCAGAAUAUUAUUCUGAUCCCGUGAUCAGAAUAGUGUUUAUGUAUAUAUAUAUAUAUAUAUAUAUAUAUAUAUAUAUAUAUAUAUAUAUAUAUAUAUAUAUAUAUAUAUAUAGGUGCGCUAAAGUGAGCCUGAGCGCAAUGCGCUUAUUCUACGCUCUGGCCUAACAAUGCGCAACCAACCAGAAAACAUGCGCGUGGCUAGUGCCUUGGCCUCCAAUUUUUCUUCCACCUACUAGUAAUCAGCCAUGUUGGAUAUAGUAACUGAAUUAAUUCGGUUACUGGCUGCAGCAAUGGUUCACCGCUCUGCCACAAUUUUUUUAUUAUAUGCGUCCUCCUGAUUACAUAUAGUAAUCAUCCAUGGAAAAUGUAGUAAAAUAUUAACUUGAUUACCGUGUGCUUGUGAUGGUUCAUCACCUCAGCAUAGUUUUGCUUUAUUACUUGUCUGCGCCAAUCACACAUGGUAAUCAACCAUGUAAAGUAUAGUAACAUAAUUUAUUGGGUUACUGGUUGCACAAAAGCUACCAUUUUAUGUCAGAGAAUUAAGGAGUGGUGUGUGGCAUCUCGUAAUAGAUCUCGUAAUAGAUCUAGUCCGUUACCAUAUGUGCCAGUUCUUUUACCAUGCAUAAUGGUACAAGAUGUUGGGUGUAGUGCGGUUGCAUGCAAUCUCGUAAAGCUAUUUGUUCCAUUACCAUAUUUCUAACCUUUUUACUGUCAUUAGCAAAUAGAAACCCGCGGGGCGGAGGUCGGCGGUGGGAGUGGUAACUGAAUUAAAUCCAUUUCUACAAGCGAUAUUACCAUCAAUUGCCGAAGCGUGUGGAGGUGGGGUUGAUUAGUGUGACCCGAGCGUACGAUUACCAGUUUUGCAUUAUAACUCGUAACUAGAUAACCAUAAUGAUCAAUUUUAUUACUGUGUGCAUUGGCUGGGUCGAUCAAAUCUUGGACAAUAGUAAAGGAUAUAACACCUUUACUAGAAAGUAAAAAGGGCAUUACGAUCAAACCUGUAGCACUAGUAGUACAUAGUAAAUGGCAUACUCCCUCCCUCCUUUAAAGAGUGUACUUUCAACUUUGUUGGGUAGUCAAACUAUCUCAAAGUUUGACUGGGUUUGUGCAAAAAAAUAUCAAUAUUUAUGAAACCAAAUAGGUAUAUGAUGAAAAUAUAUUUUAUCAUGAAUCUAAUGCUACUAAUUUAAUGGCGUAAAUAUUGAUGUAUUAUUGUUGAAAUAUGGUCAAACAUAAAAAAGUUUGACUUUCCAACAAAGGUGGAAGUACCCUCUUUAAAGGACGGAGGGAGUAGCACUUUACUACAAAUGGGAGUAAGCAUUACCGUCAAAAUGGCACAUAGUAAAUGGCAUAGCACUUUUACUACGGAUAGUAGUAAGCAUUACCAUCAAAUUAGGAAAGUGGUGGAUGGUGUGCGUGGGUUGGCUGGCUUGGCAGGUUGCGUGAUUAAGCCGGAGCGUAGAAUAAACCAUUAUGCGCGCACGCGCAGUUUAUAUAUAUAACUCAUCUUGGCACUAUUGUUUGGCAUCAAAAUAUGCACCUUUGUGCCAAAUAUGGGCACAUUUUCAUGAACAAUGCCAUGGAUAUGUGCAUGACAUGGGCAUUUGGCUUGAAAGUCAUGAAUGUUCAUACAUGGUAGUCCAUUUUUUGAAAGUUUUUUAUGUCAAAAUCCAUUUAUAUCAUUUUUCCUAACCACUAAGUACACAUAAAACAACUCCAUGUGAAAGUAUAGCAUUAUAUUUUUUUUCUUCAUUUUUUUCAUAAUGGGGGUCAGUAUCAUCGGUGAAACUAUUCAUUGCAAGGGCCUAGAUCUUUCAACACCAUGUUUUUGUAUCGCAUAGAAUCCUAGUUAGACACAGAAAAAUGAUUUUUUUGGAAAAAUUGGACUACACUAGAACAUACUUUUAGUUCAAAUUUGAAUUACUUUCGGAAUAUUGGCCAAAACUCAUUUAAAUGGGCGAAAAUAGAUAGAAAGCGAGAAAAUUCUUAAUAGUUGUGAAUUGUCCAUCUAAUAUAGUCUACUUUGUGUGAAAAUUGGAGAGGCAGCAUUUUUUGGAACUUAGAAAAUAUAAAAAUAUUUUUUGUAACAAAAAGUUAGAAACUUGUUUUGGCAAUAUUGUUUCAGAUGGAAAGCUGCCCUCUAUACAAAAAAUGUGGCCACAUUAUCAUGAUCGAUGCCAUGGAUAUGGAAUUAAACAAAAUUGCCGAGAGCCAAACCGGGAGCACUCAACAGAGCUAACUGAUCGCCUCCUUCCCGUCAACCACGAUGGGCGGAACAUGUGUCCCCCACCUUUGUUGAGUGUAUUUCUUUUUAUUUUACCUUUUUACUAUUGUUUGUCAGAAAACACUUGGCAAAGAUCUCCUUUGUUGAGUGCCAUUUAAAAAGCACUCGACAAAUGAGUUUUUCUGUAGUGAAUGUGAAAUAUUCGAUAAUAACAUUCCAUGUAUCAAUAUGACAGUAUGUAACACCAUCAAUGUAACUGAGCACUAGAGACAUGAAAGAAUUAGUUUCUCUAGUGAACAAAGUAAUCAAGACUUUUUAUGAAUCAACAUAGCAAGAGGAAGCUUAACAAUAUAGUUUUUUCAUAUCUUAGAUGGUGAGACGUACUAUAGAAGAUUAAGCUAGUACCGCAUGUGGUGUUCAUGCGGGGCAAUGCUGGAGCUGAGAUCAUUUUCAUUCAACGUAAAAAUUUCUCUUUCUGUUAUAACUCUUUAGCUACUUUUAUCUCAUCCCUUAAUAUCUCCACAAUUCAAUUUUUUGGGGGAAAUUCAAAAUAUCUAAAGGUUUUACUAAGUUUACACAAAAAUAUACCAAUAUCCAUGGAAUCGAGUAGAUUUAUUAUAAAAAUAAAUUUUAUGAUAAAUGUAAUACACUAAUUUGGUGCCAUAAAUGUUAGUGUUUUCAUAUGAUCUAUGUGAAACUUACGAUAGUUUGACUUUCAAUUAAAGCUGGUUUGAGAUGAAUGGAGGAGAAGCUAAGGUUUGCAUAAUAAUUUUGUUUCAAAAAAUUAUACAUGUUAAGAGCGAGAGAUAAAAGCUUAAUAGUGUUCCUUAUGGUGUUUGACUUAUGCACUUCCUCUCCCACCACCCUUGGCACUAACUAAUUCAAUAUUUUGACCAGGUUUUCGGGAAAAUGCAUGUACCAGAAUGUAAAAGACAGAAUCAGUUCCAUUAGAUAAAUCAUAAAAAAUCAUUAAAAUUCAGUUUUGUUGCUCCAAAUACAUACCUUUUGUCCCAUGAUAGAACUUGGUCGUUGUUGUGCAGGUGGUGUUCAAGGUCGCCAUUAGAUAUGAACUCAAAGACGAGGAAGAGUUCAACCUUGAUAACCCUUUUCCACCAAGUCUUGCCAUCGAUCACUCUGACUUUGCCGCACCAUCCUUUGAGGUCAACUAGAUUCUCGUGCCUCGUGUUACCAACUGUCUGGAGCUCGCGAUGGAAUUCCUCAAGCUUUCCCUCUGCUUUAAUUCUCUUCACGGCCACUUCCUGGCCCUUGAACGUCGCCUUAUAUACUGCUCCGAACAUACCCUCUCCAAGAAGAGCAUCUCUGGAGAAUCUGUUCGUGGCGCAAGCUAGAUCACUAUAACUGAAUUCCAUAAAGCCAUUCGCCCCUGACGAGAGGGAAUUGCGUGCGCUUCUCCAGUAACACCAUGUUGUAACGAGAUACACAAGAACGCUUAGAACGGGUACAACUACUUUUACAAUGUUAAUUACUUUUGAUGUCGUAACCCCAGGAUCCCCUGAAAGAAAUUAAGGAAGUAUAUUACUAAAUAAAAGGUGCUCAGUUCAAGGUAAAAAAAGUUCUAGCAAUUCCAAUCGAAAAUUUUACGUGAGUAUUAAGUAGUACUACUGUAUACACUCAUAGUAUGUAUUAAUUGCAAUUUCUUUAUUUUCCUUUACUACAAAGAUGUUUCAGUUCGCUAGGUUGUGUCUUGCCUACCCAUGCAUUCAACAUUUAGUUUAUAAGCUUGUCCUAUUUUCGAAUCUCUGGAUCUAUGUUUAUUUUCAAUAGCCCGAAGCAGUUCCUAACUUGCUACACCUGCCUCAUCACUGGGUGUCUGGGUAUCCACCGCAAGUCUUUCCACUUAUGAACCUCGCUGUUAACGUUAAGGCUAUGCCAUCAUAAGUUGCUACUACAUGCAAGGAUCUUAUUGAAGUCCAGAAAUAGGAAAGUAUAGAUCAAAACGCCGACUCGACAAAAUUUGGUGCUAUCAAAGUGUCCACUAAGUUCACGGGCUCAAGAUGAGCGGACUCGAACAGCUGACAUCCGUCAUAGAGUAAACCACCCCCUAUCAUGCCUCGCCAACGGGUUCUACCAUAGAGUCCAAUGAUAGACAAUAACUAUGCCUUGCUGAACACGUCUUAAUACUACGACUUCAGUUGUACUUUCUCUCCAAAGUGAAACUCCUCUCAAAAUCUCAAGACAAAAGAGCUUAAUUGGAAUCCCAUUCUAAGGAUUCAUGUGGUUCCGCAGAAUCCAACAACACGAGAACCAAGAAUGGUGAGAUCUUCCAAGUGAGUUUGAUUUAAUGGUUUUAGUGUUUGUUCCUUCAUUUGAUCGGGUUAUCAGCUUUGUUCUCCUAUGAGAUUGUGCAAAUUUUGUAUGUUAAAUAAUAUACAACAUCAACAUGUUUCUUCCUUAACUGCACUGACAUGAUAGCAGUUUGCCUAUGAUACCGUUGUAAGAUGCAACCAUUGGCACGUGCAAAUUUAUUACAUAGAUUUUGGACCACUUUUCUUUUAAGAUAUGGGGUACAAGAAUCAAGUGCGAGGCAAUUUUUAUCAAAACAUUCUUUGCUCUGUAACCAUUAGACAACUUCUUCAACCUAGUUUCUCAAAAAAAAAACUUCUUCAACCUCUCACUUCUAUUAACCUUGGUGGCCACUAAGGGAGCUUUCCUCUUCUUUUUUCACAUAAAUGAUAGGAAUUGUGGAGUGAAAACCAAUCUCCGUAACAUUUUUUUUUGGAGGCUUCUGGAGUUCAAAACCCUUGGGUUGCAUCUACGUAGGUAAUACUAAGAGAACAUACAUGUGGAACUUUAACAUGGUAAGCAUGAGGGAGAUGGAACACCUGUUAACAACAGAUGAUUCUUCCCCAAUAUCCUUAAGAAUGUUCCAUACUUUGGAAACAAGGAGAGUUUUUGUCCAGUUAAAAUCUAAAUGAGGAGGGAAACUAGCAAGCAAUCUAAACCUGUUGAUUCUCCUUUCUGGAUAGGACUCGUGAGAGUCAAAGAGGAGUUCUUUAGUAAGAUGGGGUUUUACUAUUAGAAACGGUACUAGUACUGAUUUUUGGGAAGAUACGUGGUAAGGACGCAACAAAUAAAUGUUUCGGUUUCGACUGUUUUAUCCGUAGUGACGUUGAAUACUCAAUUUCGUCGAUGCCAAACAAACCUCACCAGUUAAACAGAACUUAACUGGUGAUAAAUGAACUGCUUGGUUACACUUAGUUAGUGGUUGACGAUGAUUCAUCUUUCUGAUGACCAUUAUAGGUUUGUUUGGAAUCUGAUAGCCUUAGGAACCUUUACUGUGAAACCUAUGUGUGUGGACCUUAUGAAUGGCCAUACUAGAUUUUUACGUAAAUACAUGUGGAAACUAAAAGUAUCAUUGAUGACUAAGAUUUCAUGUGGUUCUUACAUGGGAUGGUUUUGGUAAGAAAAAUUGUAAUGUGUCUGGAAAGUGUUGCUUUUGCGACUAUGAUGUAUAUAUUGAGCAUUUGCUCCUUGCAUGUCCUUUUUCCUCAUCUUGUUUGGAGGAUAGUUCAUACAAAAUAUAAUUUACCUCCACCAACAAAUAUCACAAAUAUGUUUGGGAAUUGGUGACAUGGGGUUAGCAAAAACAUAAAUCUCAAUUUCGUGUUGGACAGAAUGACAUUAUUUUUAACAAGACUAUGUACUGCAUCCGUUUAUGGUCCUAUCUCAUUCUUGUGGAGCAGCUGGAGCCUUUGGAUAUUUUUUGGAGAUGUCUGGAGACGGUCGCACAAGAUAUCUUCAACCAGGGUGGAUGGUGGUCCAUUAAUAGAAUAGAUGAUACAUAGGCACUUUAUGUUUGUUCUAUUCUGGCAGGUGAUUUCUUUAUCCACUUUAUAUGAUCCAUGAAGUAUAAUACUCUUGAGUUUAUGUUGCAAUAAAAUGACCAUGUGCAUCGCUUUGAUACAGAGCCCAGGAUAUGCCCCCUUUAAAAAAUGCUUCAAGCGAGGCGGGGCACAACCACGGUUUUGGUUACCGGAUGAUAUUUUUACUUGGGGGUAGUAGGGUGGAGGGUUGGUAUUUAUGAUUACCACGGUUACCGGGAAAUUACCGCCCAAAAUAUUCAAAUGAAAUUGGAAUUCAUUUUUUCAGAAACCUUAAAUUAGCUUUAAAAAUCCGACAGGGCAUAACAUUGGUGGUAACGCAGCGGUAUGGCCCCUCUGUUCAUCUACCCUCCUAAUUAUCUGGUUUUGUGUUCGAGACUUGGUGACCGGGGUGCUUAGGAAACAUGAUUACUGGAAGUAACCAGAUUACAUCCGAGUAACCCAAAUCCUGGGCCCGGCACAACGCAAAAGCACACAUGUGUACAUCACCUUUGGGCAAUUUCCUAUCGAUAUUCAAACACUUGAUGUAUUAGUGGAUGGUAGACUCUUAGAUGGAGAGAUUGGUUGGCUAUAUCAUACGUUUUGGCAUUCUGAAACUUUCAUAUUUUUGUGUUUGUUUUGCUAUAAAAUAUCAUCACAACAUGAACCAGCAACCAGAAGACAUGUUGUUAUCCAAAGACGCGAGUUACGUCAAAGCUCGAAGAGUCUUGCAUUGACAAUCAAUGUUGAUUUGUUUUAAAACGUCCUAAAUCUGGCCUCAAAUGGAAAAGAGUGCUCAAUAUGAACUUUCUGCUCCUCAUAGAGACGAACAAUUUCGCUGUCUAGAUCAUUUCAACCAGAGAUCAUAUGCGGCCUCUGAGCCAAACAAGGAUUAGUGCAGAAGAUGCAGUAGAGUUUUGAGGACUAAUAGUAUCUCCUCUGAUUAUAUUAGUGGAAGAGAUCUCACUAUUUGGAGCGAGUUUCGGAGUAAGUUGGCAUACCUCCACCCUGCAAUCUUCUUUUCCUAUGUGCUGAGUUAUAAUGUACCCUGGACCAUGUGCCCAUUCCUGGGUCAAGUAAGGUACUUAGUUGCAGCAAAUUAAUUAAUCAAAUGAUUAGAGACUAUUAAGAAAGUAUAUAAAUUAAAUAGACACGUACACGUCCGUACCUUGGAAUAGCGGGAUAUCAAGAAUGUGGCCUUGGCGAAUCAGCAGCUGGCUGCUAGUGAUAUUAUUGAUCCUGAGCAGCGUUGACUCCCGCAGCCCAUACUUGGCGGCGAUCUGGGAGAUAUUGUCGCCUGCGCGGACGAUCACAUAGGCAAGGUGCAUCACGUGGGAGCCGUCCACCUUGUCGCAGCUGCAGGGCAGCGGCCUCCGCCCAUAGUAUUUGCCCGCGGCAACGUUGUUGGCGGUGACGACCUCCAUGAAGUAGUCAUCGCCACGGCCGCCGGUGUACAUAUCCAGGUCCGACUGGCCCAGGCCGCCGGCGCAGCGGCACCUGAAGGGGAUGCGCACGGCUGUUUUCGCGGGAAUGGCUUGGCUGGUGUCGGUGUGGGGCGGGAGUUGGUUGGCGGCGAGGAGGUGGUGAAGGGUGGCGGUGGGGCUGAAGCGGGAAGCGAGUUGCUCGUAGGUGGUGGCGUUGGGGACGACGUAGGCGACGGCGGAUCGGCAUGUGCUCGGUUUGGCGCAGGUGAAGCUGGCGGCGGAGGCCGAGGAGGCUGCGGCCCAGAGCAGGAGGAGCAGGGCGGCCAGCGGCGGCAUAGUUCACUCGCUGGCCAGCGUCCGACCACUACGAGAGAGGUACUCCGGGCGUGGCAGGAGGAGGAAGAUUAAUAAUGCUAGGCCUUAUCCCGGAACGGCCGCCGUGCAUCUCUCACGUCGCCCUCCCAUUCGACUCACAUUCCUAGGCCUACCUAGUGUAGUACUACGUACAACAGAGACAAAACAAAACAAGAGCCAACAUGCAUGACCCGUGCCAAGACCGCAAGCCCUGAUCCUUCGUUUGCUAGCUAGACCCGCCGGCCGUGUCAAGACCGCCAGCAAGCGCGUCCAGCCUCAGGCCUCAAACAAAACAAACCCUCUACUCGGGCGACGACUUUGCCGAGUGGUCACGUACCAAGCCGACAUCUUAUUGAUGAACAUUCCAAGUCAUCACGCCGAGCGUAACAAGCGGACAUCCUGGACAAGUCACAAACACCAUCGUGGUCCUUCUCGAACCUUCAGGUACAGUCGUCCCUUAUUUUUCCCCGGCGAUGUUUGUUCAGGGCAGAGCUUGAUGGUAACACAUGGGAGACAAGUUCUAUACAGGUUCAGGCCCUCAGAAAGAGCUAACACCGUGCUCAUUUUUCUUCCAGCUCUUUAAUUAUUGUCUUCAUAUGCCGGGUGUGAUCUCAAAAGGGGGCCCCUGACAUCUCUAGGGUUUGUGGAUUGUCCAAUGAGUUGAGUCGUAUCAAUCUUGCUAACGUUCGCAUAUUGUCGUUGUUUUGUCUCGAACAUAUUGCAUGUUAGGGCAUUUCUAAACAAUCCCUUAUAACCCGUUAGAGGAGUAAAAAUGCGGUUUCACUCCUCUAACCGGGACCUAACUGAUCCCUUAUCUGCCGUAUGUGAGUAAAACUUUUACUUGCGCCCUAAAUUUCUCCUAUAUUUACUCCACCGCUGGGCGGCUGAAUAAAUGCCGCAUCUCUCCUACACUGCCUCCCCCUCCCGUCCCGCGCCGCAUCUGAGCCGGCCCCACCCCUCCCACUGCACAUGGAAGUGUUUUUUUUUGGGAGCGACUACGUGUAAGUCGACUGAUUCUUAUUUUUGGGUCAGUCGACAAACAACACUUGUGUAUAGUAGCCGGUUCAUUCCAGCCUGAUUCGCUAUGCAUGCACACAUUUCACACGCGUGCAUGAUAUGCAUGCAUGUAUCUAUGCAUGCAUGUACGCAUAAUGCAUUCUGCAUGCAUAUGCAUGGACACAUGAUACAAUUGUCCUCCUUUUCAUCCAAACUAUUUUGUGGUACGUAAUAAUUGUAUGCUUGGAAUUUCGCAAAAAAAAUGUAUCCUUGGAUGCUCCUUUGUAUGCCUGCUCUUGUCGUUGAGCCGAGGAGUCAAGCAAGUUGCACUCCUACACCAUCAACCGUACACCUCACCACCACCACCCCCUCAGAAACAAAAUAAAUAAUGAUAAAACUUGCACACGAUAUGUAAGGAAAUUUUGUUUUUUUUACAAUAUGCAAGAAUAAAUAUAUGUUAGUGGAACUUUUGCAAAAAAGAUGUUUUCUCAGAAGAAAUGAAUUAGUGGAGGUAAUAAUGCCCUUAAAGAAGAAACAAAAACAUAGAAGCAAAAAAAUCAUAAUAAUGAAGUAUUCUCAGCUAAAAUGAAUCAUUGACCUUUAAUACUACCCUUGAAGAAGAAAGAAAAUAAAUAAAUAAACUGAACAUUGGCAGUACCCUUUCAGAAGAAAGGCAGUAUAAAACAAGCAAUGGCAAACUUGGCACGCAAUUUACACAGAAAUUGCGCUUUGUUAUAAUAUACAAAAAUAAAGUUAUUACCUUAAAGAAACAAAAUAAAAUAAAAUAGAAAUUAAAAUGAAAACAAAAUAAUGAUUUUUUGUAGGGAAGAAUAAAACCCUUUAAGAAGAAAGAACAAAAUGAAUUUCCUAGGAAAGAUUGAAACCCUUUAAGAAGAAAUAAAAUAAAAAAACAAAAUAAUGAAGUUUCCAACGGAAGAAUGAAACACUUUAAGCAGAAAGAAAAUAAAAAACGAAAACAAAAUAGUGAAGUUUUCUAUGGAAGAAUGAAAUCCUUUAAGAAAACAAAUUACAAAAACUGAAACUAAAACAGAAUAAUGAAGUUUUCUAUGUAAGAAUGAAACCCUUUAAGAAGAAAGAAAAUAUAAAAACCUAACUUGCACACAAGUAUGCCCUAAAAUUGCAGUUUUCUAAUAUGGCAAAAGUAAGUGUAUACAAUGCAAUUUUUGCUUCUACUAUAAUUUACACACACGGUGUAUCAUACUUGCGUGUAUACUUACUUACAAACACAAAAAUAAAAAUAAUUUUUUUCUAAGAAGAAAUGAAGUAUAGUGGCAUUGGUACCACCCUUUAAAAAGAAAGGAACUAACAAAAUGAUAGAAUUUGCACAUAAUUUAAACAUAAAUUCUAAUUUUUUAGUUAUGUAAGAAUAAACACAUUAUAGUGAGUUUUACAUAGAAAUGAAAUUUUUAGACAAGGAAUGAAUAAGUGGCAUUGGUAUCGUCCUUAAAAACAGGAAAUGAAUUAAGAACUAAACAUAAUAAAAGAAAUAAAUUUUCUAAGAGAGAAUAAAUUAGUGACAUUGGUAUUACUCUUAAGAAGAAAGAGAUUAAAGAAAAAACUUGCACACAACUUUGCACUGAAAUUGCAUUUUUUAUAAUAUGCAGCGAAUACACACAUUAUAAUGCAACUUUAGCAGUCUAGUAUAAUUUACACACAUAUUGUAUAGUACUUUCAUGCAUAGAUACACAUAACAAUAGAAAAAUGUAUUUAAUUAGCAAAAAAUAGCACAAAACAAUUAGCAUUGGUAUUACCCUUAAAGAAUAUAUGAAAUGAAAAAAAAAACAAAAUUUUCCACACAAUUAGCACAAAAAAUACACUUUUAUGAUAUGUAGAAUAAAUAUAUAAGAGUGAAGUCUUCAUACUCUAAUGUAUUUGUACAUGUAGUACUUGCAUCUAUACAUUUUCACGCACUCAACAUCUGAAAACACACGUAAAAAAACUCAACUGAAAAAUAAAAAAUUAAAGCAUACACGCGCAGAAAACAAAAGCAAACACAUGAAAAAAAGCAUGCGCCCACCAAAAUCCAGCCCAAGAAGGAAAUCGACUGACCCAAAUAGGAAUCGAAUCCAAACAGCUCAAUACCACCAGCAAAACAUGGCAGAAAAAAGAAAAGCUAGACAAAUCUUAAAGCACAAUCCAAGGGCCAGAAAAUCGGUUGACCACAAAACAAAAAUUCAUCUGACUGAAAUCUAGCUAAAGUUGUUUUUUUUCUUUUUGAAACCUGUACGUGGAAGUGUUGACAAUGAUGAAUUUCAGUUCACAAAUAGUAUUAGUGGAUUCGGUGUCACACUCGUUCAGGAACGGAAGUACCUUUGUUCGAUUGUCAAGUUGAGAGACGACAUAUGUGAGACCCUUAGGCAGAGUAGAGGGCUUAGGCCUUGGGAUAUCUCCAACGAGUCGACGUAAACGGUCACCGAUUUGAUCCCUUUUUGUCUUGGAUCGAGCCUUUGUGCGGGUCAGGCCCCGUCCGUGUUUUGCUGAUCAGUGCGCCCAAUCGGCCGACGGACUUCGUCCGCGCGGCCCAUAUGCGGCCAUAUUUGAACACAAGUUUUGCAUACAAAUAUGAACAUUGCCCAAAGUCUAAAUCACAUAGUUUUCAAGCAAAUAUAAAUCUCAUAGGUUGCAAACCACGUGAAAAAAGACCACUAACGCCCGCAAGAGCGGCCAUCGGGUGCGGUGUGCAACUGGGGGAGGUGUGUGGGUGCAAGCGGCAGCCUGGGUAGCGUUCAACCGUCAGCGAUGAUGGCGGGGUGGCCGGGUGUCUCGGUUGUGGAUGGGAAAGGGGGAGAAUGGCCGAUGUACCCCGGCGGGCGGGCUACGGGGAAGACAAAGACGGACGUCACACGCGGCCGUGCCGUGUCCGCGCCGGUGCAAAGCCGUUCCAAAUUUGGACCGAAAAUGGGUCACGGGUGAACAAAAAGUGGACACUCGUCCAUUGGCGUCAGCAUGUUGGGCCGAUAUUUCUGUCUGUUUCGACCCAAAGGGAUGUGCGAGGACAAAAUGUGCCGAUGCAUUGGAUUUGCCCUUACACACGUCACACACCAAAUCUAAAUCUUCCCACGCAUUCCCAUACUUCUUUUCUUGUGUUGUUAGGGCAUCUCCAAAGCUGACCUGCAAAUGUCUCCGGUAUUUGUCUAUUUUUAUAUCCCGACAAGAUCCGCAUAUAUGAUGCGGGAGGGAGGCAUCCAAUGGGAGGAGAAAAACUAGAUGGGGGCCAUGCAUGUGGUGAGAUAUUUGUAGUUUAUUGUCCGCAUGGCAUGAGAGAGGGGGAGGGGGACCAUGCAUGUGCGCUUAGGUGGAGAGAGAGAGAAGAGAGGGACCAUGCUUGUAAUUACUCAAGUACUUGUCUGGACUCCGGCAUAGCUCCCCAUGUUUGUCUCUUGGAUAACGAUCGGUACGUCCAGAUUGCUAAGAGGACAUAUACAGGUUCUCGUUACAUGGCAAAAGUGGUUCAGAGACAGUAGUUCGAACAUAUAGCGAAGAUUUGAGGGUCCGCUUUGGACAUGCCUUACAAGACAAUGCAAUUCAAAGAAAAUUGAGUUGGAAAAUCAAAGAACAAAGAACAAGUACGAAGGAAAGAAAAUGGUUCGCAUAGAGGGAGCUUGAGGGAACUCCGAAGUGGGCAGGCCCAAGAGGGAGUGCCAAUUGAGUAAGCUCAACAAUUUGAUGCACAAGGAGAACCAAAAUAGGGGAGCACUUAUGCCUCGCUUUUAGCGAGACCAUAGAAGGUCUCGCUAAAGGACCGCCCACCCAACAGCAAAUAAUGGGCCUGUCCAAAUUUUAGGUUAGUUUCAUUUUUCCAUGUUUCUUCAUUCUUUUUUACUUUAAUUUAUAUAUUUCAUAUAUAUUAAAAAUGUAUCUAUUCCUAAAACUAAUUUACUUCAAAAAAUAAAAUUUGAAAAUUGUUAAUGCAGUGUAAAUAUUCUGAUAGCAUAACUUAUAAAAAAAUGUCCCCGGUGUUUAAUAAAAAUGUAUGAUUUGUACAAAAAAAAGUAGACAUCAAAAAAAUAUAAGUUGUUUUGAGGGGUGUAAAAAACAAUAUUUGGAAAAUGUUAAGCAAGGAUAUGAAACAUGUUAAGCUUGUAUAAAAUAUAUUUUUGAUAUAUACCAGAGAUGUACAAUGUGUAAGAAUACAAUAGAAAUCCAAAUAUAUAUUUUAAAAAUGUUAAUCAUGUAUUUAGAAACUGUUAAACAUGUAUUAGAAAAAUGUUCUUGACUUAAGCUAUGUAUUUUAAAUUAUGCUAUGUAUGAGGCAAACGUAGUAGGAAUGGACUGUUACUUAUGUGAUGUAUGAUGCUAAUGAGAAAGCGUUGUCGAAUAAUGCAAUUAAGUUGUUUAAAUGAGUGUUUGAAACGUGUUUGUUUAUUAAAAAAACUGUAGUUGAUUCUUUUAGGGUGUUAAGUUAGGGCAUCCUCUAGCUGAGCAAAAGUUUAAUCACCCCAAAUAUUUGACUUUUUGAGAUAGGGAGAAGGUUUGAGAGGAAUUAUGUUUACUAGAUUGGUAUCGCGCCUUGGCGCGAGGGUGCCGUCCCCAACGUUUUGGUCCAUCGGAUAUGAUAAUGGGUUUGGAAUACUACUGAUUUUGGAGUGUUGAAAGCUUUCAUAAAUGGGAAAGUAUUUACAUAAAAUGCAUUCAGAUACAUAUAAAAAUUGGUUUCUUUGUCAUACAUAGACAUGAUGACACAAUCAUAAUAUACACAUGAGUUAAAUAAUAAGUCUUGGCAGGUACAAAAGAUUCAGAAGGACCUUAUAUUAUAGUGCUUGCCAAUGUUAGGGAUUAACGCUGGUCACAUCCAUGCCAAGGUGGGCUUCAGGUCAGAGAGUGAUGCAACUGGCAACGUCCUCUACUUCUGCUCCAGGGCAACCCUCCUUGCGUGUCCACUUGCUUGAUGGUAUCCUUUGACUGCAGAUCAUCCAAAUCUCCUGUUAGAUUCAAAGCCUUGUUAGAUUCAAGUAUUAUUUUUUUUACAUUGGGCAGUUGCAUAUGAUUUUAUAUGACCCGUGUAUCAAAAAGAUAUUACAUGCUAGGACAAAAAACGCCAAUGCUAUUCUUGAAGCACCUAUUAAAUGUUUCAACAAAAACUGCGACAUGAAGAUUAGUUGAUGUCCUCAAAGAGGUCAUAGAAGAAUCUUAGUGACAAACAAAGGAGAAAGAAGAUGAACAAUUCAAUAAAUUUUAGAUGUAAAAAAGAAUGCAUGCUGGCAUUGUUGUAGUGCAGUGACACUUUUUUAGAACAGAUAGUCAUCUGCAGUUACACACAUAAGUGUUUAGCAACAAUCAUAAUUUGCACUGGAAUACAUAAUACAAACAAGUAGUGUAUGAAUAUUCAGCUAAAAGAACCAGUCAUGGGAUAAACAGGCACCAGUGUCACUACCAGUCCAAAGAUUGCAUCAGCCUCAAUGAAAUUGCUCACACUCUUCGGCCUUGCAGACAACACUGCAAGAAGAGGCUUUGUAACUCAACCACAUCAUCUAUACAAAGGGCAAAAGGAAAAGGAAAGCAAAUUGUGUGUACACAUACACUGGAAGACAGUGCGGACCAGUUCCUAAUGCUUCUCUUGGUCCUACAGCCAUCGGUUAAUCCGUGAGCAGGAGAACAGAGAAAAACAAAGUGCAUAGCUUAGUCUCUAAGGCAUUUCAUCAAGCACGAAAAGAUCUAAAGAUGAAGCAGUUCUGGAUUUGGGUUGGGAAAAUCGCCGAGCAAUUAUGACCAGGCUACAGCAAUAAGUCCUUGCCAACGUGUAAAUUAUCCAGUCUAGUAAAUGGAAUACUUUCGUAAAUAACCUGCCCUGUUUUUUUAGUAAUCCGCUAUUAAUCCAGGACAAAGUGAAAUGGCAAGGUCUUCAGAAACAACCAGCCGACAGUCUCAAAUUGGAGGCCUGAAUUAAAGAAGGAUCUUCAACUACUUCAACACAAGAUCAAAGACAAGCAUUCCACCUUGUUCAAGCAAUGGCUGCCAGAUAAUUUUGAAAUGAUUCUCAUGUUGCCAAAAACUGAAAUUGGAUAAGGGCUCUGCCCCAUUAGGCUAGAUAUUUUUUCUUUUGCUUCUAUUUUCUCCUUUCCCUUUGUAUCAUACUGUUUUUUUAAUGAAAAUAUACCAUAGAACUAUUGUCCUGUGGUUUGCGGUUAAAAAAAGUAAAUUUACCUAUUCACACUGAGAGGAAAUAACAGAAAACUCGUAGACAUGACAAAAAAAAUAGAUCCCCAGUCCUAUUCAUAUGGUUCAUAUGUACCAAUGCAUGGUUUUUGUAUAUAAAUAGAAAAUUUGAAGGCACAUGUUCCAACUUUCUUUAUUUACUGGGACACGAUAGAGAUCACAUGCCUAUAGUUUGUCGUGCAAGAUUCUGCAAAUUAAUAGCUACAGCGACAUUUCACUACAACAAUCAGUGGAUCAUGUAUUUGACUAAAGUAGUUCCAUUACUCUAAUGUAUCUCAAGAAUUAAUUGGACGUCUAUACAACAAAUACUACUCAUGAGCGUAACUUUCACUCUAAUUCUUCACCAACUUAUCGAAGAUUAUUCUAAAACCGAAGCGACAAAUCUUGUUAUUGUACAUAUAAGAUAGUUUAAGUCCAAAUACUACAUCAGGCGGUGGCCUCUUUGGCAUGUCAUUGUCUAAUAAAAGCGACAUUUCCAUCAGUUCUACUAACUCGUCACCAACUUCCUGAAGAUUAUUCCAGAACCCCAAAGUGAAGAGUUUUUUCAUUACUGGAAAUAUGAGAUAACUGAAGGGAAUACAUAUAUAGACUAUCCUAUGCGUCAAAGUGUUUGAUAUGUCGUCAUGUAAUGCCAGAUGGCGCAAGCCAUUUAUUUUAACUGGAUUAUUUGCAUAUCAAGAAAUUUUUUGCACAGCUAUAGGUUUUAUAUAGCAUUUAGUAGCACCAGGCAGAACAUACCUUAAGUGCAGCAAUGGCCGCUCAAGAGCAGAAUCACAGUGGCUAACCUUCACAUCACCUACAAGAGAACCAUUAAAAUAUGGGUCCAGAAAUCUGUUAGAAAACGGCUAACACCGACUCGGCCCGCACCGUGCCGCACGCUCACCACGCGGUGAUCGUGGCCUCACCCCGCGCCCCGCGUAGCUAGCACACGUCUCUCCGGAAGACUAGCUCCUUUCUGUUGUAACCAACCCAGCACCUGCGCGUGCUCUCCUGUGUAUAUAAGGCUAUGCCUUCCUUCGUAAUAUCACACACAGAUUCUUAUCCUUCUUCUUGGUAUCAGAGCCAUCUUUCCUCCCUGUACCCCAUGGCCGGUUCCCAUGCCUCUGACGAGGGUUCAGAUGCCGGCGAGCAGACCGACGCCGGUGUCAAUUCCGGCAGCCCACCCCUCCCCAGCGCUACUGCUCCGCUGCCCACUACUUCCGCUCCACCCCCCGUCCAGAGCGCCCCUCCGGCCACAGCUCCGCUGCACCUCACCAUCGCACCGCUCGGUGCGGUGACCUCCGACGCCGCGUCGUCCUCCACGGCGCCGCCACCUUCGAUCCAUGCUGUCAACGUCGGCGCCCACAUCGACUUCAAGCUGGACGCCGUCUGCGGCAACUACUCCAAGUGGAGGCGCAUCAUGUCCUUCAUCCUCCGCAAGUCGGGCGUGGAGAGCCACGUCCUCGUCAACCUCGACCCGCGCACUCAGACUGCACAGUGGCGCCACGACGAUCUCCAGAUCCUCCUCAUGAUCUACGGUACGAUCACGGAUGAACUUUACGAUGUCAUUUCUGCCCAAGACUCCACUGCCUAUCAUGCCUGGUUUCUCCUCGACGCCUUCUUCCGCGAUAACCUCGCGGGACGGGCCAUCCACGUCGGCGCCGAGUUUCGCGCCACCGUUCAAGGUGAUAUGAAGAUUGCCGAGUACUGCAGGCGCCUCAAGGCGCUCGCGGACUCCCUCGACGAUCUUGAUGAGCACGUCACCGACAAGACCCUCACUCUCCAGCUCAUCCGCGGCCUCGCUCCUCUGUUCGGUGUCAUGGCGUCCCUGCUUCCGAUGCAGGUGCCCUUCCCCACCUUCGUCCAGGCCCGCUCCAGGUUGAUGCUGGAGGAAAUCAGCCUGGAUGCGCGCGCCCGGGCGGAGGGAGCUACCGCCCUCAUCGCCACCCACGGCGGCGGCUCCAGCGGCGGUGGAGGCGGCUCCGCUUCCACGGGCGGCACAAUCCAGCGGCAGCCCGAUCGCCCCUCUGACCGCGGCGGGCGCGGGCGCGGCCGUGGCCGCGGCGGGCGCGGUCGAGGCUCCGGUGGCCGUGGGGGGCCUCCAGCGCCUCCGUCUCCAUCCCAGCAACCCUGGAUGGGCUAUUUCGCCCUGUGGGGCCCCUUUCCCACCGGCCGGCCGCGCACAGUGGGUUCCAUUGAACGCCGCCGGCGUGCUCGGUCCAUGGCCCGGGAUUCCACACCACGCCUACCCCAUGAUCUACAAUGUCAACUCCCCACCGACAUACGGCGCCGCACCACCAACCUACGGCGCCCCGCCCGUCUACACGCCUCCGCCUACUUCAUGGGACACCGGCCACAUGCUCAACGCCGCCAUGUCCAACAUGUCCAUCCAGGCUCCGGGGGGCGCGGCGAAUGGUACCUGGACACCGGCGCAUCUAGCCACAUCACCAACAAUGCGGGUAACUUGGACACGUCUCGUUUUUCUGCAAAGUAUCCCUCUAUCUUAGUUGGUGACGGCUCCUACAUGCCUGUCCUUACCACGGGCACCGCCUCUCUACCACCUCGCCCUUUCUCCCUUAAUCAUGUUCUCUUCGCCCCUUCUGUUGUCAAAAACUUGCUCUCUGUACGACAAUUUACUAUUGACAAUUCUGUCUCAGUUGAAUUUGACCCACAUGGCUUUCUUGUGAAGGAUCUGGCGAGCAGGACCCCUCUCAUGAGGUCAAAUAGUUCCACUGGGCUUUAUCCUUUCUUCGGCGAAUCACCCACGGCUCUCUCCAUCGACAUCGGCAACUUGUGGCACAGGCGUUUAGAGCACCCUAGUCGUGCUUCUUUAGCCAAAUUAUCUCAUUUUAUUUCUUCAUGUAAUAAACCCCUACCCCCCUUUGCCACUUGUGAGGCGUGCCAAUUCGGCCGACAGCCCAGGCUACCCUUCCCCUCCUCUAGUUCCUUUACUACUUCUCCUUUUCAACUUAUACAUUGCGAUUUGUGGACAUCACCUGUCUCUAGCUGUUCUGGCUAUGCUUACUAUUUAAUAAUAAUGGAUAAUUUCAGUCAUUACUCCUGGACUUUCCCUUUGCGUCACAAAUCUGAAGCUGCCGAUAUUCUUAUACGCUUUUAUGCCUACGCUCUCACCCAGUUUCAUCUCUGUCUAUAGUGCAUCCAGUGUGAUAACGGAGGAGAAUUCCUCAACACCCGCCUCCGCUCUUUUCUCUCUGCCAACGGCAUCACCUUGCGCCUCUCUUGCCCUCACACUUCACCACAAAACGGCAAGGCCGAGCGCGCCAUACGCAGCACCAACGAUAUCAUGCGCACUCUCCUCCUCUAAGCACACAUGUCGCCCGAGUUUUGGGUGGAGAGCCUCAACACCGCCACGCACCUUUUAAACCUUCGUCCUUCUCGCGACAUCGCCCACAACACGCCCUACUUCAUGCUCCACGGUGUCGCCCCCACCUACGACCACCUCCGCACAUUCGGCUGUCUAUGCUACCCUAACCUCUACGCCACCUCCCCCCACAAACUAGCAGCCUGAUCGCGCCGCUGCGUCCUCCUCGGUCUCCCUCGUGAACACAAGGGCUACCGUUGCCUUGACCUGGGCACUCGCCGGGUCAUCACGUCCAGACACGUAGUCUUCGACGAAAACCAGUUUCCCUACACCCCGGCCACACCCUCUUCACGUGCCACGGAAAAUCCCAUGCAAAUCCUACCUACCUCGUACUAUCCAGGCGCACCUACCUCGGGAUCGCCGCCUAACCACGCGCCUCCCGCGGCUGCUCCCCAACCCACCCACCAGCCCGACCCCACCUCGGCUCUCGCACCCGCGGAUAACGCGCCCACCACUCCACCAUCCGCUCGGUCCCACCCUGGCCCCACUCUCUCCACCAAUCCCAGCUCAACCGAAUCCACCUGGUCGGCCACUUCCCGAAGCAACCCGGAGCCAUCCCCUCCCACCUCGCCACCUGGCCGACCCCUCCCACCGCGCGUCGUGCCCAUUACCCCAUGCCGCAAUAAUCACGCCAUGCACACCCGGGGCAAAGCUGGUUUCCUUCAGCCGAAAAACCUCUUCUCCCCCGCUGCUCUCGCCGCCGUUCCUGCCUCGCCUACCAUCUCACCCAUCCCCGCCACCUACAAACAGGCCCUCAAAGACCCCAACUGGCGCCGCACCAUGCAAGAUGAGUUCGAUGCUUUGCUGCAAAACAAUACGUGGUCUCUUGUUUCUCGUCCUGCAGGUGUCAACACGGUGACGGGCAAGUGGAUUUUUCGCCACAAACUCCACCCCGACGGCAGCCUGGCACGCUACAAGGCCAGAUGGGUUCUCCGUGGUUUCACACAGCAGCACGGCGUGGAUUUUGGCGAGACAUUCAGCCCGGUGGUGAAGCUGGCGACCGUUCGCGUGGUGCUCAGCCUCGCCGUCUCGUCGGGGUGGCCAGUUCAUCAACUGGACGUGAAGAACGCGUUUCUUCAUGGCCACCUCGACACGAUCGUCUACAGUCAACAACCAUCCGGCUUCGUCGACUCGCACCACCCCACGCACGUCUGUCAGCUCCACCGCUCCCUCUACGGCCUGCGUCAGGCGCCACGGGCGUGGUUCCAGCGCUUCACAGCCUACCUGCUCUCGCUCGGCUUUGUCGCGUCCAAGUGCGACACCUCGCUGUUCAUCUUGCGCCGCCGCACAUCCACUGCUUAUCUACUGCUGUACGUCGAUGACAUACUCCUCACCGCCAGCACCACCGCCCUGCUUCGCUCCAGCAUCGCCGCGCUCCACCGCGAGUUUGCCAUGUUCGACCUCGGCGAGCUCUACCACUUCCUCGGUGUCAAUGUGCACCGCACCACGGACGGGCUGUUUCUCUCGCAGCACCAGUACGCGCUCGAGAUCCUUGAACGCGCCGCCAUGAGCAACUGCCGCCCCAUCGCCACGCUCGCUGACACCAAGCGCAAGCUCUCCGCCCAGGCCGGACCGCCCGUCUCCGAUCCAUCCCUCUACCACAGCCUCGCCGGUGCCCUGCAAUACCUCACUCUCACUCGUCCCGACAUCGCCUACGCCGUCCAGCAAUUAUGCCUCUUCAUGCACGACCCGCGCGAGAGCCACUUCACCUACCUCAAGCGCGUCCUGCGCUAUGUGCGUGGCACUGCUCAUCUCGGCCUCCGGCUCCGGCGAUCGCACGACACCAACCUGGUCGCCUACUCCGACGCGGACUAGGCAGGCUGCCCCGACACGCGCCGGUCCACGUCGGGCUUCUGCGUCUUCCUCGGUGACAACCUCGUCUCGUGGUCAUCCAAACGCCAGCACACCGUCUCGCGCUCUAGCGCCGAGGCGGAGUACCGCGCUGUCGCCCACGCCGUCGCCGACACCUGCUGGCUCCGUCAACUUCUUCACGAGCUUCAUCGCCCACCGGACAGCGCGACGAUCGUCUACUGCGACAACAUCAGCGCUACGUACCUCUCCUCCAACCCGGUACAGCACCAGCGCAUGAAGCAUGUGGAGAUUGAUCUCCACUUUGAUCGCGAGCGCGUCUCCUUCGGUGACGUACGUGUCCUUCACGUGCCUUCGACGUCCCAGUUCGCCGACGUCUUCACCAAGGGCCUCCCGACGGCCAUUUUCUGCGAGUUCAGGUCCAGCCUCCACAUCGUCGAGGACCCUGUUGCGGCUGCGGGGGGCUGUUGGAAAACGGCUAACACCGACUCGGCCCGCACCGUGCCGCACGCUCACCACGCGGUGAUCGUGGCCUCACGCCGCGCCCCGCGUAGCUAGCACACGUCUCUCCGGGAGACUAGCUCCUUUCUGUUGUAACCAACCCAGCACCUGCGCGUGCUCUCCUGUGUAUAUAAGGCUAUGUCUUCCUUCGUAAUAUCACACACAGAUUCUUAUCCUUCUUCUAAAUCAACAUGGGUUUACGGCCUAAAGAAAGAAAAAUAUGCGUGCAACUUUGCACAACAUAUUGAAUGAAAGAUACGGUAACAACAACCUACAAAUACGACUAUGUAUGGAUUAACAACACUAACCACUGGCGAUGGAAUUAUCAAGAUAGCCAUAGAGGACGCCCCCCAUGAUCUAGGAGCGGGCUUGAGCGAGGCAGAGUAUGAAAUUGGUUCGGUUUAGAAAUAAUGAAUUAGUGGCAUUGCUAUUGCCCAUUAAGAAAAUAAAUAAGAUCUAAAACAAACAGUAAAAUAAGUUGCGCACAAUAUACACAAAUAUUGCGCUUUUUCAAAAUGUUUAAGAAUAAACCUAUGAUCACUACCGGAAUAUGCCCAAAUCGCGACGGCCUAAACUAUGCCGACGGCACCCGGCAUAGGUCAAGCCGUCGGCGUAGAAAAGUUGUCGGCAUACGUCAACAUGUGCUGACGGGUGCCGUCGGCAUAGCUCGGCCAUCGGCAAUACUAGCUCUAUGCCUACGGUCACCUUCGGCAUAUACGUGGACCCGGCUACCCAGUGGGCGACGGGCGUUUGACAAUGUCAUAUCUACGCCGAUGGCUCUAACGGGGCCGUCGGCAUAGGAAGUGACCCACGUCAUUGAUCCAGGGGACGGGACACGUCAUCUAUCUGAGCCCCUCAUCAGUCUUUAGGGUGGCAUAGAUAUGCCGACGGCCUUGCCGUCGGCAUAGGCCUGGCCCACGGCCUCUACCACGUCAUCGAUCUGAGGCCCUCAUUAAGCCGGGGGCGUAGCUAUGCCGACGGCAUUGCCGUCGUCAUCAAUUUGUGUUAUUUUUUUAUAUUUUAUUUAUUUUUCUCCUUUUUCUAAACAAAUUUGAUUAACUUAAAUGUGCCUUAUCUAAACAAAAAACAUACCUAAAUUAUAUAUUGGUUGACCCCCCUCACAGACGUCACCGCCGACAUCUCACGUUGGGGGGAAACGGCCACGUCGGGCCUACAUGGAGGAAAUCUUGCAGUGGGUUGGGCCCGGACCGUGUUCGUGGGUGUAGCUACGGGCUGGACUAUGACAACCCGGUGAAAAGGUCCAUUGGUCAAACACCGUCCGGUGAAAGUCAAAGGCCUAGAUCCGCUGGUCGACUGUGUCGGGGUUAGACGGGACGGGGUACUUGGGGGUAGUUAUGUUGCCAAGUCUUGUUGUGGGCCCUCUUAUGCGUGUGAAAGCGUGGUGGCAGGUGCAAGUACCCGAAACGCGGCUCCGGCGUGUGACCCCCCUCACAAAUUAAACGUCGCUGCCGCCAUCUCACGGAGGGAGGAAACGGCCAUGUCGGGCCGACACAGAGGGUAUCUUNNNNNNNNNNNNNNNNNNNNNNNNNNNNNNNNNNNNNNNNNNNNNNNNNNNNNNNNNNNNNNNNNNNNNNNNNNNNNNNNNNNNNNNNNNNNNNNNNNNNNNNNNNNNNNNNNNNNNNNNNNNNNNNNNNNNNNNNNNNNNNNNNNNNNNNNNNNNNNNNNNNNNNNNNNNNNNNNNNNNNNNNNNNNNNNNNNNNNNNNNNNNNNNNNNNNNNNNNNNNNNNNNNNNNNNNNNNNNNNNNNNNNNNNNNNNNNNNNNNNNNNNNNNNNNNNNNNNNNNNNNNNNNNNNNNNNNNNNNNNNNNNNNNNNNNNNNNNNNNNNNNNNNNNNNNNNNNNNNNNNNNNNNNNNNNNNNNNNNNNNNCCUCUUACGCAUGUGGAAGCGUGGUGGCAGGUGCAAGCACCCAUCACGUGGCUCGUGGGUGUGACCCCCCUCACGGACGUCGCUGCCGUCGUGUCAUAAAGGGGGGAAACGACCACGUUGGGCCGAUACAAAGGGAAUCUUGCGGUGGGUUGGGCCCGGACCGUGUUCGGGGGUGUAGCUAUGGGCUAGGCUAUGACAACCCGGUGAAAAGGUCCAUCGGUCAAACCCCGUCCGACGAAAGUCAAAGGCCUAGAUCCGUCGGACGACUGUGUGAGGGUUAGACGGGACGGGGUACUUGGGGGGCAGCUAUGCCGCCAGGUCUUGCGGUGGGCCCUCUUACGCGUGUGGAAGUACUACCACCAUGACUUGGAGGUGGGAAUCAUGUGCGUCUGGUAGAACCGUAGGGAAUCUAGUGGUGGGUUGGGUCCAGGCAGUGUUCGGGGGUGUUCCUAUGGGCCGAUCUAACGCAACCAGGUGGAAGCUUCCAUUGGUCAAAGCCCAUCCGGCAAUAGUCAAAGGGCUAGAUCUCCUUGUCAAUGGGGCUUUGGUGUGUAGCUACGUGACCAAAACAUUGAACAGGUCCUCAUGCAUGUGUGAAAGUCAUGUGGCAUGCGUAGACACAUGUCUUGGUGCUCCAGGGUGUGGCCCCCUUCCACGGAUGGCACUGCCACCAUGACUUGGAGGGGGAAUCGUGCGUGUCAGGUAGAACCGGAGGGAAUGUAGUGGUGGGUUGGGUCCAGACCGUGUUCGGGGGUGUUCCUAUAGGCCGACCUAAUGUAACCAGGUGGAAGCGUCCACUGGUCAAAGCCCAUCUGGCGAUAGUGAAAGGGCUAGACCUCCUGGUCAACGGGUCUUCGGGGUGUAGCUAUGCGACCAAAACAUCGCACGGGUCCGGACGAUAGGGUGGUGGUGGGCAUGGGGCCUAAGGCUCAUGGUCGGUAGACGGUUCUGGAUGCCGUGGUCACUCCUUCUAUCCCCUACACACAGCUCCGAGCUACCGACCCGAGCUCGAGCCAGCUCACGAGCACGACCAUGACCAGUGCGCAGUCACACUCCCUCCUAGCCAAACGGCACUCUGUAAGUAUUUUCCCUCUUAUCUUCAUUGCUCACUUUGUUUUUUCGAAUUGAGAUGUUUAAUGACUUCCAUCAUGUCAUAUUGUAGGCCUACAUGGACUACACACGCCAGGAGACCAUGGCGUGGAGCGCGACAGUUGCAGCCGUCCAGGAGCGCGUUAGUUUAGCUCCUUUCAUUUCACUUCCAUAUUUGCAAUUUCAUUUCUUCUGACAUUCAUGUUUGCUUUGUCAAUUAACAUGCAACACAUUUUUGAGAGCAUGGCGGCAGGCAUGGUUCCUGUAAUGGAACCACCACCACCACCUGCCGGACCACAACCAGUGCUGCUUACCUUUGAGGAAUUUCUGGCACAGCACCUGGGGACUACGGUGGUUAGUAUAUCCCCAAACUAUCCAACCACCGCUUACCGUUUAUUCAACACAAUCAUAUAUCCCCCGAACAUGUCUUUUCAAACAUCCAGGGAACCGGUGGAUCAUCUGUUGGUGGUGGUGCCGGUCUUCGCAUCACUCCCGAGUCAUGGAGCUCGGUCACUUCGAUCCACCGAGGCGAUGACGGUCUUGGCGGUAGCGCUGCCGUUAGCAGUGACGACCUAGGCUUUGGCGGACUUGGCGGUGGUGGUGGACGUCUUGGCGCUUAAGCCUGUGGGUGGCGGUGGUGGUGAUGUUAUACUUGUGUGCUUUAGAUGACUUGUGGUCUUUUAUGCACCUUUAGAUGACUUGUGUGCUUCCUUAGAUGCUUAUGUUGUUUCUGAUUUUGCUUAUGUUUGUCGGUGGUGUUGGUUGUGAGGAUGUGAUGGUUUGGUGGUGUUGGUUGUGAACAUAUACUUAUGUUGUUGUGAUGGUGGUGGUGGUGGUUGUGAGGAUCAUACCUAUAUGUGAUGUGUAUGUCUAUUUCAUCAUAUAUAUCUGUUGUGUACUUGAAUUGAAUUAAAUUCAAACAGAGAACAGAAAAAAAACAGAUAAGGUAGUGUCGAGCUACCAGUGGGCGAUACGUGUCACCUAUGCCGACGGCCUUGCGUCGGCAAUGUUUUACAUAUACGUCGACGGGUAGGCCGGCAACAUAGGCGAACAUGGCGCCCAUUGGGCGCGUCCUGGCAUGUAGAUAUGCCGACGGCUAGGUCCUCCGCACCGAUUUGAAUCUACGCCGACGGUUGGGCCAUCGGCACAUGUGUAGAUUCAUAUAUAUGUCGACGGCCUACCCGUCAACAUACUUGUGCCACGUGGCUCCUUCUAGUUGGGUCGUACUUGACGAUGGCGUCGUCAGCCGCCGUCAGACAUGGAACUUUGCUGACGGCAAAUCUAUGCCGAUGGCCGUACGGAAGCCCUGGGUAUAGGUAUCUAUGCCGACGGCCUCCCGGGGUAUGUCGACAAAAAUGUUGCCGACGACCCUAUGCCGAUGAUGUCUGUUGGCAUAGGCAUAGGGUAGUGUCGAGCUACCAGUGGGCGACACGUGUCACCUAUGCCGACGGCAAGGCCAUCGGCAUAGUUUUACAUAUACACCGACCGUAGGCCAUCGGCUUAGGCGACAGGUAGAUAUGCCGACGUCUAGGCCGUAGGCAUCGAUUUGAAUCUACGCCGACGGCUGGGCCAUCGGCACAUGUGGACACCUGGCAGCCUCUGGGUGCCCAUGCCGACGGCUGGGCCAUCGGCACAUGUGGACACGUGGCAGCCUCUGGGUGCCGUCGGCAUAGGCCUAUCCCGACAGGAAACUAGCCUAUGCCGACGGCCUAAUAGUACGUCAUUCUGGUAAUGUAGUCAAUUUUUUGCAAAAGUAAGUUUCUUACGAAGGAAUAAAUUAGUGGCAUUGAUAAUACCCUCUUGAUGUGAUUUUUCGUUGUAUUCCUAUCUCUAUCAGAGUUUCAGCAUGUCGCCCAUAAAUAGCGUCUACUUAAGCAGCAUGAUUAGUACGUAGGCGAGGCUGCUCAAGUAAAUUGGACUGCAGAAGUUUUAGCAUUUCUGAAUAGAUUUGAAAAUAUAAAUUACUUGAGACAUUGGGCUGAAAGCCUCAAACAACAUACUUGUGUAAGCAAGCUGAAACCAUGCAUAUUAUCCCACCAGCUAAUUAAGACGAACGUGAAGCAAACAUCGACUCCAGAAGCUGCGAUAGACGAGUUGCAUGCAUAUGAGCACGAAGGUUCACUCUAGGUUAGAUCGGGGAAGCGUGAGCCUCAAUCACUUGCUCAAAGUCGACGCUCCGGAGCACCCCGACGACGGCGAGCGCCUCCUCCUUGCUGCGGAUGUUGGCUUCCGUCUCCAGUAUCUUGGUGAAGGGCCCGUCCCACUUGCCCAUAAGGUUGGAGCGGAGGAUCUCAUAGGACAUGGUGUCCCAGUGCUCGAUGUAGGGCAGGUGCUCGGGGGCGACGCGGGCACCGGUGUCCCAUCCGUCGUUGAGGGUCUCUUUGAUGGGCCUCACCCGCUGGGCCUCGCACAUCACAACCUUCAUCGCCGCCAGCGCCCGCUUGACCGGCUGCACGUCGGCCCCGGGGCGGUAGGCGGCGAGCACGCGGAUGGCCUCCAGCAUGGCCUCCCGCCCCAGCGGCACGCCCGGCAGGUUCGCAAGGCCGCCGAUGAGGUCGCUGUAGCUGCUGCCGAAUGGGAGCGUCGUGGACGUGGGGAAGAGAUGCUCAAGGCCAGGAAAGGCGUGCCAAUGGCCGCUGCCAUCGGUGAAGCCGGCGAAGGAGAGGUCGUGUCUCUGCACGGCGACGGUGGUCUUGUCAUCCGGGCCGCGGCCGAUUAGCCGGACCCGGACGACGACGACGUUGCCCGCAUCAACGGCUCCUGCGUGUCCAUGCUCGCUGUUGCUGGUGGCGAGGACAAGUACGAGGAGGAACAGGAUGACGAGUCGGUUGACGGUGGAUCCGUCCAUCUCUUCUCUUCAAGACUAGAACAGUGAACGAUGAAGGAUGAAGAAUCAAGUACGCAGUAGCUAGUAUAUAGGGUGGCAAGCCAAGGGACACCAGCACACUGAUCGCGUUGCCCAACGGUGCUGGCUAGUGCAAUGCAUGGAACCAGCGUGAUUGUCAAGAGAAGAGUGUGAAAUGACUCAUGGGCGUCUUUUUUGACAGGCCGUGCUUGGCGCCCAUGCAUAUGUGAUGCCCGUUCAGCGUCCAACAUCUACCUUCCACCUUUUUCUUCACAAAGAUGUGAUGUGUGAGUGAGUACCAUGUGAUUGCCUUUUUUACUUUCGUUCAGGAGAGCUUUUAUAUUACGGCCUGUCUAGAACUCAGUCAAGUCUCAGUCUAAUGACGUCAGCGUAGUUGUGGUGCUAGAUGCUGCGAAUGGCGAUGAAAAAUGUUGCAACAGUACUGCAAGCAACGACAACCUAUACUACAACCGUUCCGAGUAAAGUUGCUACAACCGUCAAUGGAGGAUGUUGUGACCGGUCAGAUGACAUGCUACAAUCGACGAGGGACAACAUGCUACAAUCAGCAUGACAGAUGUUGCAAACUGACAGAAAAAAAGUUGCAAGCAAUGGGACAAAAUGCUGCAAGGUUGAAUAGGACUUCGUUAAAUUUCAGUCGACUGAGUUUUAGCAAGCCCAUUUAUAUUAUAACUAGCAUGUUGUGAACUACUAUUUGAGUUAAUUUGGCACUAUUAGCAUUGGCACGCAAUGUAAACUAUAAAAAGCAAAUGUGUACAAAAAGUAAUUCUUGAAAAAAAUUAUUGUAUGGAAUUUUUCCUGUAAGGUGUCUUAGGUUGGUUGUAAAAGCCUUGUUAUUUAAGAUGAAAGUCCAGUGGAAUUGGUAUCUACGGCCUCAUGUAAAAGCUUUUUUACCAUUUUUUUCCUUUCCUCCGCACCCCUCCCUUCUCUAUCUCCUUGUCUACAAAUAUUUAAGGUUUCUUUAUUGAAAUCAGACCUAUACAUCGGUGGUUCGUAUCAAAACUUCAGUCAACUCGUUAUUUGUCAUAUUGUAUGUUAUUCUUUUAAUUAGUGCGGUGCCAUGUCUCUAGAAGCUUCAACGCAUGACCAUCUUACCCUAACAAUGUAAUACACAAUCAAUUGCACAACAUAGUUGGUUGGUGGCAAAAAAAAAUCCGGUUUUUAGCAUGCAUGAAUGCAAAGAUGUACAAACAACAAUUCCAAUUAUUAUGUUGGUGAACUCUGGGUCAUUAGAGGAACAAUGUAUGACGGUGCACAAAGUUUCGUUGGUUUGUGCUCUUAAAAUUUCCAACCGGGCGUCUCCAUUUCCAUUGAUUACAAAUCAACACAGGGGAAGGGAAAGAGAGAGCGAGUUGGGGCACUAUCAGAAAACCCGCUAGUGGUGUUCGACAUUAAAACACCCGUUACAGGGCAAGAACUUGAUAAGACCCAUAAAUUCCCAUACAACAAACAAAAUACUAACUAGAGUUCAAAGAUAAAAGGUUAAAAACCAAACCCUCUGGGCCGAUAUCUACAAAUUUCCCAAAGGAUCACCAAACGACUCUAGGACCAAGGUGAACAUAACCAGACUGUGCAAAAAUAAGUUUAUGAUGUCACAACGGUCGGUUCAACUGUCAGAGGAGCGUCUUCCACCCUAAACGUGUCUGGUACCUGGCCCGCACAUAUAUGCCAGCUUUUCUCUUUCUAUGUCAUUUACACAUUUUUGCAGGAACUAUCUAUGUCAUUUAUACGUUUGUGUCUGCGUAUAUGUUGUAAGUUGCACUUGUCUUGAUCCAACAUGAAGUCCUACAUGAUUUUUAUGCGGCGGUGUUUAAGGCCCUCCGCCCAUUCUCGCAUUUCUUGUGUGUGACCCCUCUACUCUGCCUAAUGAUCUCCCUAUGUCUCCCAUACGAGUAUGACAACAAAUACAUGGUACUUUUGUGAACUAAAAUUCAUCAAUCAUGGACCGUCUAAACUUCAGGCAACUGAAAUUCUUAGUAGGGUCACUCAGUUUUUUUUCUAGCGUUGUCGUUUCAUGCUAUAUGAAAUGCGGCGAAGGCAAGACCAGUGUUGUACAUACUUAGAACAAGCGUAAGUUGUGCACCUUUAAUAAUACUUAUGGUUUAAUGAUUAAUUAUAGAAUGAAUUCUAUUUGAAGUCCCAAACACACAAUUAUAUAGUGUCACACCAUUACAAUAUUAAACAGCUGGCGCUAACACAAAUAUAGGAGAAAAUCUGAAGACCAGAAAAUCGAGGAAAGAAGAAAAAAACAAGAAGAGGCAUUACCACAGGCAAGAAAAUAGGUGAUUUUUUACGUGAGUUACUUUUUCCUUGCGAGUAAACAAAUACAUACAAACCAUUAACUAGAAAAUAUAAUAAGAAAGAUUUAUUUAAGAUAUAAAUUCAUCUAAGGAACAAAUGAUCAGGAAGUGGUGUAGAUUGAAAUAAUAGCAUAAAAAGGAAAUUAUAAAAUAUAUUUAAAAAAGAAUGAAUUGAUGGCCCUUAUAUACCCUAAAAGAAGGAAGAAAACAAAAAAUGUAAAACAAAAAUGACAAAAGGAAUUGACGCAAAAUGCAUUGAAUUUGCACUAAUUAACAAUAUAGAAGAACAAUCAUAUAAUAUUAAGUUGCAUAUAUAUUCAUCCAUGUUAGAAAUUGGUCAUCUAUUGACAUAUUGAAACUGAAUUGCCGCUCAUAUCAAUAAUAUCAUCCCCAUCAUUUCUCUCCCUCUCUCACCUGUGUACAGACAAUACGCAAUGCACACUCAUGCAUUGCACACACGCCACAUAACAGAGAGUUCCUACAGGACGCACGCUGGCGUCAAACAUUGAGCCUUCUGGUUUUUUGGACGAUUUUUAUUUCGACUAUUAUAUACAUAUGAUUUUUCUUAAUAUGAACAUUUUUGAAUUUCCCAAUCAUUUCUUAAUACUGUGCUAUUUUUGUAAUAUACACUAAACAAUUUUUAAACAAACAUUGAACUUUUUUAUAUAUGUUGAAUAUUUUUAAAUAUACAAUAAAAAACUACAAUGCACGGUGAACAUUUUUGUAAAAAGACGAUGAACACACUGAAAAAGAAUUAAUAUAUGUUGAACAUUUUUCUAAACUAUGGGGGAUUUUUUGUAAUAUACAGCAAAAAGUUUCUUAAUAUACGAUGAACAUUUUCUUAAUACACAAGGAUGAUUUCAUAUGCUACAAAAAAGAGAAAAAAAUAGAAAACAUAUACAUAGAAAAAACAGAAAAGCAAAACAAUCGAAAAAAACAGAAACGAAAAACCUAAUACAGAAAACCAAAAAGGAAUUAGAGGGGCAAAGAAACGAAAAAGAAAGAAAGUGCUAACGUAAAUCACUGUUCAAAAAAUCUUCCUAUUCAGCGAUUUAUCGCUACUCUUGGGGUGACCGAUAAGAUUAUGCCUUAUUUUCACGGUUUGUCAUUUGGGCUGAUUUAUCACUCUAACAAGUGAUUUAGCAAGAAUCUACUGAUAAAUGGAGCCUAUUCCUAGCACUAUUGUUGCAACAACUAUGUUUAUUUGUGUUUUGUGGACCUUGUUAUGCAAUAUGUAUUGUUGUCCUAUUUCGUUUGAUAUUAUAUGAGGAUUCAGAGCUAGGAAUCAAGGCAACACUUUGCUCACCUAGUUACCAGAUCAAAAGCACAAAAAAUGAAGAAAAAAACUAGGUGAGCGAAGCAAGGGGGGUAGGGGAGCGAACUCUGCUAUGAGCACGCCAACUUACUUUCCGGCGUUGAAGGCACCUAAGAGCUCCCCGCAUUACAUGCUCUGGUUGACUAAUCAGUUACUAGCAGGCAGAAGGCGCGGCGGCGCGAUGCCUGUCGUGAAGUAGGUGUGCAUGGUUGCGUUGUUUUUCAUGGGAAAAAAGAUGACAGUGGAUAAGCGAGAUGGCAGUUGGUAAUGUGCAAGCCAAUUGAACAUAGAUAAAUACUGAAAGAUACCAGAAAACAGUUCACCUAUCGUUACAAACACUUAGCUAUAUAUCAUAAAUGUUCAAUUCAAAGGUGUUCCUAACAAAAUACUCACAAUAUGUAAAUUGUGUGGUACAACCAAAAUUUGUACAAAAUGGAGCUUCCUUCGAACCAAAGGAAAAUAUCCCUAGUACACAUUUUAAGGAUAGUACCCCAUCACGCAAAAGAUAAAAAUUUGUAUUAGUGAACAAAGCAAGAUGUGCCCAUGGUAAUCUCAACCAAAUAAAAUGACGGGCAAAGUCAUGUUGCAAACAAUCUGAAUAGCUGAUGCGCAUAUGAACUUUCUCUCCAUAUAUCUGAUACGGUAUAACCAGUAAAGGAUAUGUUCUAAAAAUAUUAUUUGAGUUUAAUAGACACAAAAAAACAAAAUGAUUCGAGUGGAUGGCUGAAGGGUCGUCACCUGAAACCAGGAUAUUAGUUGUGACUCCUCACUUCAGUUCAGUUGAAUGUUCCUCCUUAUAUCUGCUUCAAAUAAAUCGCAAAAAUAAGAUGAGAAGACACAAGUUAGGUUCGAGUAAGUUCUUGUCGCUACCACAUGAAGUAUCAUAGUUAAUUACUAAUAUCCACUUAGUCUGAAUCAACAGAAAAAAUUUAUAUUACAUAAAAAAACUAAAUAAAAAUUGUCCCUAAAUCACCUUCUUGGAAAAUACUUCGGUCAGGAGAACAGCCUGGCAGCAUGACGUCCAAAGAAUACCUUCCAGUUCAUAAUGAAGAUGUUUCACGUGGUCGGGUAAACGGGCAUGGUAGAAGGUAGUGGCAGCUAGGCGAAGUAAGGGCCCAAGCGAAGCGGAUGCCAAUAGUGGAACCAUGAAAGGUGGAGAAGAGUAGCGUGAAGCUAGAGCACAACAUGGAUGCGAGCUUGUCCACCGCCGGCUCCUGGUCAGAAAUAGGUGCGCCGCCUUGGACCGUGGGAAGAGAACCACCAGCAAGCAGUGGCGUAGCUAGGGGGUGGCCAGGGUGGUCCAUGGACCACCCUGGAAUUCCCCCAUAGCUUAUGUAUAGUGUAGUAAAAAACAUUUCGUUUAAAAUAAAACAAAACUUGUGUAAAUAUUUCUAUUACCGGACCACCCUGACAAAUCGGGCUGGCUACGCCACUGCCAGCAAGGCGAGGAGCACAUCCAACCAGCCCGCAUCAUCGUUGAGCUCAACGUCCUUCUGUCAUGCGGUGCGGAGGUCAACCUACCAGACAACGCGUGUGCUCUUGGCCUUUCUCGUUAUCGUGGGGCAACACGUCAGGUGGAGCGUCGAUGACCUCGAUGGUGUGGGCUGGUGGACGGGGGUCACUUGCGAGGGCACAUGAAUCGCUAUGUUCGGUUUGCUUGACAGCGCAUGGCCCACCUCUACGGCCAACACCACGCUGGAGAUCAAGAUAGCUAGUGUAAGGGAAGGAGGUGCUUACGAGGGCCGCACCGGAGACAAAGGUGGCCAACCCCGUCGGAGCCAAGGACGGGAGGUAGAAGAGGAGAUGCGGUACGGUGGGGAUGAAGUGGACAGGAGAGGUGCGACAGGGCUGGGAAUAAUUUUGAUGAAAAUCGGAACGGGGUAGGGGAGAGGAAGGUGUGGCGAGAAGUGAAGGAAGAAAAAGGAGGUGAGAUAAGCGGUCCCCGUCGGAGCCAAGGACGGAAGGUAGAGGCGGAGAGGCGGCACGGUGGGGAUGAAGUGGAUAGGAAAGGUGCGACAGGGCUGGGAAUUAUUUUGAUGAAAACCGGAACGGGUUAGGGGAGAGGAAGGGGUGGUAAGAAGGGAAAGAAAAAAAAAUGAGGUGAGAUAAGCGGUGAGCGUGGGACCCGGGGUGAGAUAUUUCUCAAAGUGAAACUGACUACCGUAGUUGUAAGACAUCUCCACGUAAUUUCUCAACGGAGGCAGUAAAAAAAGUUGCAAAGGAGAAAAUCCAAAACUUACGUGCUUAUACAUGUCAAUUAGAGAUGAAGCAUGGGCUACAAUGUGAAACGCACAUGGUGUGGGCUAGCUUAGCCACUUUAAUUCUUGUAUAUAUAAGCCAUACAUGGAUUGUGUGGUCUUCUACGGUCCAGUAUUAACCAAACCAGCCUCUUUACACGUGGUGGGCUGCUUUAAUUAUUUCUUUUUGAGAAAAUUUCCAAUCUAUUCAUUUUUAAUCAUAGCAGUACAACGAACAUAAAAAAUAAUAAAAGUUACACUCAAAUCCGUAGACCACCUAACGACGACUAGAAGCACCGAAACAAGCUGAAGGCGCGCCACCGUCACCAUCCCUCCCUUGCUGGAGCCGGGCAAAACUUAUUGUAGUAAAGAGUUGGAAAGUCGUCGUGCUAAGGUCUCAUAGGACCAGCGGAUCAGAACAGCAACCACUGCCGAUAAAGAGUAACGUAGAUCGGAAAGAUACACUCUGAGGACAAACGAAUGUAAACGAACGACAAGCAGAUCCACUGAAGACACAUCUUCACAGCCCACCGACAAUGCUAGGCGCACCACCAGGACUGGGGCUAAGCGGGGAGAACCUUAUUUCAUCGCCGCCGCCGUCUCGUCUUCCUGACCAGAACACAAACCCUAACAAAACUCGAAGAAACAUCUAAAAAACGGAGCCCUCCCACCGGCAAGGGCCAACGGAGAUGAGGUGGACCGGCGGCAGUUCCAACGGGAGGUAGAGAAACCCUAAUCUCUUUGUUUGGGGAGAAGGUGUGGGCUCCUUUAAUUGAAGCCUUUGUAACUGGGUUGUUCCAUGACAUAGAAAAAAAAUCAACUGAACCUAAAUAAAAAUUUAGGCAACUGAACAUAUAGCAAAAGUAUCAUUCCCAGCACUUGCACAUACAAGGUGUAUACAAGACAUUCGCGUGUAAACACCACACAUAGUUUAUUGGGUAGAAACAUCACAUGGCUUAAUUCAAAUGCAUCAGUAGUAGUAGGAGAAUUACCACGAGCGUGCGAUUGCAAGCGAUCAAGCAGCGAGGUAGGAAAAUUACCACAUGCACGUUCAUUAUUGUCCGCUGGCGAGGAUCGGUCAAAAGGCCACUUCGGCGUUGGCAAACUCCUCUCUCUUCUGUGUCAUAUCCG
This 53946-nucleotide long non-coding RNA is filed under the name Triticum aestivum (bread wheat). RNAcentral describes it as "long non-coding RNA (TAES_LNC006527)". Lineage: Eukaryota; Viridiplantae; Streptophyta; Magnoliopsida; Poales; Poaceae. The record is from RNAcentral.